UUUAGCAUCCACCCUUUUCUCCUCUUCAUUUUCUGCUUGUUGUUUCACCCAAAUUAUUUCUUUGGAUACUCAACUACCACCAGCAAGAUUUUUAUUUUUGAAUACAACCUUCCUUUCCAAUCUCUCCAUCAAGCCAAGAAAAAAAGCAACGGUGGUUUAUCAAGAAUAGGCAAGAAAAGCACUUUGAAUUGUUGAUUAAUCAAAUAAACGAGAUGAUAAAAGUAGGGAAAAUGGUGGAAUUACUUGAAGAAUAUGGAAUUGUUAUAUUAAGAAUGAGAGAGCAGCUGUUUCUCCCAAGGCGUUUGCAGGUUCCUUUGUUUUUACAAAGCCUUCGUUCCCCUGCUUCCUCUGCAGUUCAAGAUUCUUCGUCUUUCAUUGUCUACUUUUAGUUCUAUAUAUAUAAACAAUUUUAUUUGAAUCUUUCUUAAUUAAGUUAUAGCUAGCUUCAUAUACGUGUAAUGUGGGGAUUUUUCUUCUUCUUUUUUUUUUUUUUCUGGUUUAAUUUUCCAAUGUACAAAUUUCUAUUUUGAACCUUGUAAUGUGCAUCACUAUGGAUGAUGAUACAAUUUCUUCAAAUGAAUAAGGAAAAAAAAAACGUCUAUACUUCCUGUUCAUUUCAAUCGGUGUCAUUUCCAGUGAAGAAAGAAAUAUUUGGCUGAUUCAGUUUUGAUGUGAGUGCUUUUCUUCGGGAUUUUUUCAUAAAUAGCCGGUCAAAUUCACUAUUUACUUUCUGAAAAUAUAAUUACUAUUUACUUUCUGAAAAUAUAAUUAAAUAAUAAUAGAGUAUUCUUUUGAUUUUAAAUAAGACGAUCAUACACUUCAACAACUAGCCUUAUACAUAAAUUAUACUAAUAUAUUAUACAUUAGUCGGCUACUUUUAAUUUAAGCGAUUGGAUGAGCCGCUAUUGAGGCUAAUUCUUCAUAGUUUUCAGGUACAAAAGUUUCAAAUGAAGCAUCACGAAAAUGAAUCCCAAAAGUUCACUCAUUCUAGCCUCUUGGAUUUUCCUGUACUUCAACUUAUCUUCAUGUCCACUUGAGUGUGUAUUUGCACAUUAUUUUUAAAUCAUAUUCAAAUAGAAUAGUGUGUUGUUUGUUCUUAGCGUAGGGGCUACACAAAAUGAAUGACUAAUCUUUAUUACAAUCAUUUAAAUUUUCAUUAUAGGAUAGAGAGAAAAACCUAUCAUGAGGGCCUCAACGGCUUAACACCAACUAAAUGAGCCUUGUCCAUAUUGAAGUAAUGGUAACUGUCGAGGGGUCAUAACCCAUGAGACCCAUGGGCCCUGAAUAAUUAAUGGGUGGGGCAACAACUACCAAGGCUACAUGGUCCAUAACCACAUCCAAUAAUCCUUUCAUCUCACAAAGUGUAUACAAUGUAAACAAUAUAAAACUAUAAUUACAUAUGUAUGUACAUAAAUCGUCAAGUUUCUCUGAUAUAAGAGAUAUUUCUUGUGUAGUAACAAAGCUUGCCAAGAUUCAUGUUGGUUUCCUAUCAAUUUUAUGUUUGAGACGAACCGAACGAUCCAUCUGAUUUGUUCAGCUAUUGAACGAUGAAAAUUUGAACGAUUGUUGGGUGAUAUGCUCAGCAUCUGUCAACAGUGGCGGAUCGUUGGAAAAUUAUACUAUUUUUAUAUAAUAAUUUUAUGUAUAAAUAGUAGAGAUUGAAUCCUCACUGAAAAUAUCCGCCCGUGUCUGUCAAUGUUGCACUUACAAAGCAAUUGUUGAUUGCUUCUUCCAAUUUUUUAAUUUUUUUGGGUACGUCUUCUUUUGCCAUCUUUUUACCAAAGGAAUAAUUAUUUUGUCACGAUUCAAACUCGGGAAGCCCAACUGAAAUAUAGAGCUUUAAUUCCUUGGGAAACAAACCCUUAAUCUGUAUGUCUGUUCUAAUUCAAUAUGCCUUUCAUGAUCACUCGGUAUUCACUUAACCUGAUUUUGUAUCAAUAAAAUUACAUGUGUCACUCUAGCCAUAUUUUUAACUUCAGGUCAGCAAAAAAAUCUGACGAAAUAAUAGUACAAUAUUUUAAAGGACCCAACUAUGUAUCGAGAUUCGAGUGAGUCCUGAUGGUUGUUGGAACGUCAUUGACAUCUCGCACUAAUUCUAGUGGUCUGGCACUGAUUCUAGUGCUAGCACAAACUCUAGUGAUUAAUCUACCCAAAAAAAAAAACUAAUGAUUUCUUUCACAUUGGACAUCUUUUUCAUUAACUUUAUUUAAUUCAAUUAAGAGUUUAAAUUUUGUAUACCGUAAGUAAUAUUCUACACUAUUAGGUAGGCUAUUGCAUGUUAUUCAACUUUUUAUAUAAAAAUGUCUGAUAAUAUAGAAUUUUUAAUAUAGUGCACAAAAUUUGAAUUCUUCAAUUAAACAAUUUAAAUUACUUCCACUCACAAACAUCUUUAAUACCUUUCAAAUAUAAGAUAAAAGUAUUUUCACCUUCUCAUCGAAGUUAAAAGAUGCUUGGAAUGAGUUAGAUCUUCUCGCACCUGAACCUGUUUGUGACUGUGAAGUAUCAAAGGAAUAUACAGAUCACUUGUGUCAUCCACGACUACUACAGUUUCUCAUGGGUUUGAACGAGAGCUUUAGUCAUGUUAGGAGUGAUAUCUUACUUAGAACUCCCAUAUUGAUAGUGAAUCAAGCUUAUGCAGUUGUUAUUCAAGAGGAAAGUCAGAGAAAUUUCGGAGUGACUGAUUCUCACAAAGAAUCUGUUAGCUUGAUGGUGAGAAGAGGAAAAGGUCCUAGAGCUGUUCCGAAGAGGUUUGGAUAUUGUGAUCAUUGUGGUUGCAAAGGACAUGUGAAAGAGCUGUAGACACCUAAUUUUGUCCCUUCCAAUGUUGAUUUUAUCCAUUUUUAGCUUACCUUACCACGUGUCCUCAUCCAUGUGAUUAUAUCCUAUAAAAAUACAAAAAAUAACAACCCUCAACAAAAUCCUAACAAAUUUUAUCUUGUUUUAAUUAUCCUAACAACCUACCCCACCUCCUACUCACCUUACCACCCUGCUCAUUUUUUAUUGGAUUACUUUUAACCUAAUACACUAACAACAAAAAUAGACAGGGACCCCACUAGUCAGCAACAGUAUGGGUAUUCACUCAUUUCCAUUUUUCAGGGAAGGCAUUUUAACAAUACAACAUUCUAUACACUCAUCACUCACAGGAAAUAGAGAAGAGGAAAAACACGCACCUCACCAGAAAAACACUCUCACUCACAGAAUUCAUAAGCACACACAUCAUUCUUCUCCACUGAUCUUCCACAAAAAACGCAACACUCACACAUACAUGGGGGGAGAGACAACAGAGAUAGACACACAACAAAAAAUAAAGGGAGGGAGAAGAGAAGAACAUGAGAGAGAGCGCAACACCAGUGAGAGAAAGAGAUCGAAAAAUGGAAAUCAAUAUGGAAAAGGAGAAUAGAUCGGUUGUUUAGGCUAUUUUUGAUUAAAUUUCACCGAGAAAGGGAAUUCUACCAAUUCUCCGAUCAACCACGUCCCAAACCAACUCUCCUCGGCACCGCCGGAGCUCCGGUGAAACGAGAAACAGUAAGUCCAGUUUUAUUCUGACCAAACUAGCAUCAAACAUUCACUCCCGACCCCAUUUCAGUUCGAAUCUCACCGGAACUAACAAAAUCAACGAAAUCCGACUCGUCCCAGUCGAUUCUGACCAAAUUCUAACCGGAAAAGAAGAUAAAAAUAGAAACGGCUUAGUCGGGUCUGUUGGGGGUUUAGUCCAGAUUUUAGGAGUUUGGCUUCGAGUUGGUGGGUUGAGGUUGAAGUUCAAUUUGAGGUUUCCGGCGACUCUAUCUCGUUUAAUUGAAUAACACUACAUUAAAAUUGACAAUUGAGGUCCGAUUCUCUUCUCCCUCUUUUUUUAUUUCACUCUUUAUGAUAUUCGGUGCUAUGGAUUGAACGUUUGCGUGUUGUUUGAUCCUUGUUGAUGGUGAAUAAUUUCUUGGUGUUGAUUCAUUAUUUAUGUGUUGUGUGAUGAAAUGAUAUCUUAUUUGAGAAUUAAAAUCGGUAAUUUGAGAAUAAAAAUGGGGCGGAAAUUGAAAGUUGAUAAAAAUGAAUAUUGUCGUUUUGAUUCAUUGAUGUCGUUGAUUGUAAUAGUGUCAUGAUUGGUCGAGCUGGGUAAUAAAACAGUAGGCUCGGGUAGGCAAAUUUAGAACUUGUGGACUGCGGAAUGUUUGGAAUAUGUGUUGAAGGUUUUUGUUUACCGCAUUUGGAUCAACUGUAUUCAUUUAGACAGGAAAUGCCCCGAGGACACUUGUAUUUAUUCAUCGGGUAAUGCCCCGACAUAUUGUGUUGGCGGAAGAUGUUCGUGAUAAAGAUCUGAGGCACUGGAUGGAGCGUAGUUUAGGAUUAGUGUAGGUUUACAUUUAUGUACAUUUUUAUUUUGGGUUUGUAAUAAUUGGACUGGACAUUAACUUUUGGAUUCUCGUUUGUUUUGUUUAAUUGUUGUGUGUUUUAUGUGGUUUAUACAUUUGUAGUGUCAAAAUAGCCGAUAUGUUCCCACCAAGCGAUUGUGGUACAACCACGGGAUCGAGGGGUGCCUAACACCUUCCCCUCAGUCAACAGAAUUUCUUAGCCGGAAUCUCUGUUCGCAAACCAGUUUAAUGAGUCAAAUUGUUUUGAAAAGAAUCUUUCAAAGGUGACUUGGCACACCGGAUUAUGUCAAGUGGCGGCUCUGAAUACAAAAUGUAAAUAAUCCUUUUUUGAAAUAAAUUUUCAAUCUUUUGUCACUUUAAUAAUAAAAACCCUUUCAAAACUUAAAUCGAAUCUUUUGGGGUUGAAAAAGGGGUGUGACAGCUUUGGCGACUCUGUUGGGGAUUUUUCAAAAUUCGAGCUUAUUUUUUGAGUUGUAUCGACUUAGUUUGACACUAUGGGUGUAUAAACAUUGUUUGUGUUAUCGUUUGUGUUUAUUUUAUCAUUGUUGUGUGCCUACGUGCUACGUGUUUACAGUCUUUCUUUAUGUGUUACCACUUUAUAUCUGGCAUCAUUUGCAUAACCCAAGUCAAUUUUUUCUGCAACAAGUCUCGGAGUGCACGGCGUGUACAUGAACUCUAGUUGAGUCAUCCUUAUUUUUAGGAGGGGGAGCUGUCGGACGUAUGGAGUGGAUGAAAAGCUGUCACAGCCACUAUCGACCAUACGCUCCCCCGAACAACCUUGUUAGUGAACCCCAACUUAGGUCAGCCUUUAGGUCAUGCUUAUCUGCAUCAUAUUGAGACCUGGAGGGGCCUAUUUGGUCCUUUGUAAGAGACUCACCUCUAAAGCAUCCCUAUGUGCUAAAUAUUGUAUCUUUGAGGGUAACGUGGUCAUUUGACGGACUGAUUCAGGGAAAGCAUUUGUUAGAAGUAACGUGUGUUUGAAAAAAAAAAGUGAGUCAAAAAGGGUUUCGUAACUUUUAGUGUUCUUUAUGGCUUUUGUUUUUCACAAUUCAAAAAUUCAAAAAGAUUUUUUACCUUUUGCACUCAUUUUGUCAAAAACAAAAACAUCAAAAAGAUUUUUCUUUGUUUCAAAAAUGAUUUCUUUUAAUAGGAGUUUUAUAAAUGAAAAUUUAAAAAUGGUAGAAGUUUUAUACAUUUCAUAUAGCAAAAAUAUCUCAAAAAAGAUUUUUCUUUCUUAGUUGUGGGUGUCAUGUGUCAAAUUAAAAACCCUAAAAAGAUUUUAUUUACGUUCUUCACUCUCUUGUCUUUAGUCGUGUCUCAAGUCAAGGUUUUGUUUGUUCUUUAAUCCUAAAUUGUCCAAUCUAGACGAACUACGCACCCCUGAUUCUCCUCUCUUGGGAGUGAAAUACGUAGGUAGCCUAUUGUGGGUUUGGGGAUCUUAUUUCAAAAAUCUAAAAAAGAUUUUCUUCACUCUUCAUUUAGAGUAGGUGUUUGAUGUACAUCUUUAAAAGAAAACAACAAAAAAAUAUUUUCCUUUAAUAGGUUCAAGUUUCAUUUUCGUAUGAAAUUCAAAAUCAAAAAUCCAAAAAUAUUUUCUUCGGUAAUCAUAGAUUUCAUUUUGUACAGGAAUCUGAAAAAAUUCAAAAGACUUUCCUCACUCUUCAUUUAGAGUAGAUGUUUCAUAUACAUCUUUAAAAGAAAACUACAAAAAGAUUUUCCUUUAAUAGGUUUAAAUUUCAUUUUGUUUGAAACUCAAAAUUGAAAGCACAAAAAGAUUUUCUUUGGUAAUUAUAGAUUUUAUUUUGUAUAAGGAUUUAAACUUGAAAAAUACAAAAAAAAAUUGUCAAUUCUUUUGACAAUUUGUUAUUUUAUUUUUCUUUGAAGUUUCAAGAAAAAAAUGAAAUGAGUUUAAUUGGCCAUUUUGGCAAGACUUCACAAAUUACGCACACCUGAUUCUCCUCUCUCGGGAGUGAUAUACGUAGGCGCCCUUCUUGGGUUCGGUGAUCUUUUCUAACAAAAAAAAGAAGAAGAAAAAAGAGGUUGUGAAAAGUAUUGAACUCUAACCCAUUUGUUGGUUUUUUGUUGAGUCAGUUUAAGGUGGUUGGUUUGUGGCAUUCUGACUGGUCCUUCACAUCACACAAAAUCCAAAGGGUUAGUUGUGUCCAACAAAGAUAUAGAGAGUGACAUCAUGGAUCAAACAAAGAAUCAGAAAAAAGAGAGUUUGAAACAAGAGAUUAGGAGGGUAAGACAACAAAUGACAAAAAUGCAUCGAGCUUGGGCUAGUGGGUUGCGUCCUCCUUCAUUUCCCCUUAUUGAUCCUAAAAACACCUCGAGUUUUCCACCAAAAUAUCAAAGUUAGUUUUCUACUGUUGUUGAUGCACCGCAACAUGACUCAGAAUUCAUUCCGAGCCAAAAGUAUCUCAAUACUUCCACUUCUUUUCCUCUAUCUCCUCGUCAUAAGCCUGCUAUAUUUACAACACCACAUAUCGUCUGUGAUCUUGUUGCUCAAUUCUCUACUGGGACUUCCACACUGGCUCGCCCAAUGGUUGUGCGUCCCCAUGCUGCUAGUGAACCUAUAGUCAAUACUCUUGGUGAUCAUUAUUAUACUCCUGAGCCUUCUUUUAAGUUAACUAGACUACCAAAAUUUCUUAACAAGAAGUCUAGUACGCCAGAAGAGUCGGAGAAAAUGGUUGGAAAAAUAAAGAGUGUAGAAAAUGUUAUGAAAAAUUCUCUAGGACCUACGGGUAAAGAAGAUGUUUCAUGCAACGACUGGGGCAGGCCUUCAAGUGAUAACCUUCCUCCAAUCUUUAAGAUAUCAAAAUUUGAAGAGCAAGAUGGGCAUGAGGAAUCCGUGAAACAUUUGGGAUAAUAUUGCAAUCAAUUCAGGGAACCUGGAGAGAAGAAGAAUGAGAAAGAUAACACUGCUAUUGUAGUUGGAGAGAUGACACUGCUAUUGUAGUUGGAGAACGGGCACAUCCAAGAAAACGACGUCGUUGUUGCCGUCAGUCUCAAGCCCAAGUUCACACCCAAGCUCUUCAUAAUCACUUCAAAAAUCCAUUAUACUCUAUUUUCCCACCUUCAUAUCUAGUAUAUUGCACACAACCAUAUGUUCAACUCCCUUCUUACCCACAAUGGCGCGCACCAACUCUUCAAAGCCAUCCUCCAAUUCCAUAAACAUACCAAAGCCCUUCUAGGCCUGAUGUUCGAUCCAAGCCAAAUAAUGAAAUGAGGCAGAAAUUGAGGGAUAGUUUCACACCAAUUGGAGAGUCGUAUGCCAGUUUAUUUCAGAGACUAGCACAGCGAGGCAUGAUCAUUCCUCUCCUUGGGUAUACUUCUGACCCGCAUUAAAAAGGUUUUGAUCCUACUCUACGAUGUGCAUAUCAUUCUGAUUUUCAGGGUCACAGUAUUGAAGAUUGUCAUGCUUUGAAAAAAAAAUUGAAAAGAUGAUUCAAGAUAAAUCAAUUAUGGUGCAGAACGUUGAUCGUGGUGGAUACUCUAGUCAUGCUGCUAUGUAAACUAGUGGCUAAGUUAUCAGACUGAGCAAUUGAGAAGUCACCCCUCUCCCUACUAGAAAGAGGUCUGGUAGUUUGUUUUUUUUUCUAUUCUAUUUUCCGAAUUAUUUCAAGAUUGUAGUUUGGGAUCUAUCUUAUUUUGUCCCAGUGUCGUUUAUGUUCAAACCUUUCUAUCUUUUAUUUCAACUAGAUGAAGUGUCCUUUUGCCUUUGUGUUUUAAAUGUGUGUUUGUUUUUUUUACACAGUACAUUUUAGAUUGACUCUAGUGUUAUGACAUGCCUACAGAAUUUUCAGCUAUAUCUUAAAAUUCAAUUUAAGCAUGAACAUUGAAUCAGAGGGUUAAAGUUAGAAAAAUAGGGCAUCUGAGAAAAUAGGUAGAGUGCUGAGACAUUUGGUGAUAAGUUCAAGCCUUCUUGAAAAAUUAAGGCAAUUGUUUUGAGAAUUGUAAGAUUAACUUGGUCAUCAAUUGAAAAACAUUGCUCAAUUAGGUCAAAUAGCGGAUGUGUGAUCCCGAGGAACAGAAAAAUUAACUCCAUGAAAGCAUGAGUCAUUCGAUGUGAGAAAUGUACAACAAAAGUGGAGUGAUAUGUUGAACAAAGUGCAAGAGUAGUGAUGCACAGACUCAGUUAAAGUUAAUGCUUAAAAAAUGUCACAAAUGAUCUUCAUCUCUCACUUUCAUAUUGCAUUAUAUGUACUUGCAUUUUCAAGGAUUGAUAUGACGAAGGAAUUUCAUUCUUCUAUCCAAACAUCGCGUCAUCUUUUGUUUACCCCAUUUGAGCAUUAGUCCUAUUUUCUUUCAUACCCCUCUUUUGGAAUCAAGAUAGAGUCAGCAAAGCUCAAAAGAAAAGUGUCGAGCAAAAUAAUAGAGUCAGAAAAACUUCAAGAAAAAAAAAAUAUAUCCAAAAAGAAAAAAAAGAAAAGUUUCAAGACAAAUAGAGUCAGAAAAAUCCAAAGAGAAAAGAGUGUCAAUAAAAUAAAAAGAAUCAAAAGUCUAAACCAUGCAAAACAAGUUGCGAGAACUACGCGUGACCUGAUUCUCCUCUUUUGGGGGUGAGAUACGUAGGCUGCCCUAUUCGAGGCUCGGUCCAACUAAAUAAAUGAUUUAGAAUUCCCCAGUCAAAAGAAACUGGGGCAUGAGUUAAUUCUCAUUGUUUGAUUCAAUUCCAAAAGUUGUAAGUCCCACUGCACUUCAAGUGUCGUUUGGGCCCCAUGUUAUCCUUUCUUUCUAAUCCUAUCGAAAAGCCAAGUUACAACCAAAGAAAGAACUUCAAAUCAAUCUUUGAGAAUGCGCUAAGGAUAAGCAUGCAAUGGAUGUGAUGACACAUUUUGGAAACUACUUGUCUUCCUUAGUGUAAGAAAUUAGAAGAGAAAUAAAAAUGAGAGACUCUUAUUGAUGAAAACCCUCACGGGCACUAUAAGACGAUGGUGAGUUGAGAUAAAUAAAAAUGAGAAAGUCUUAUCGGUGAAAACUCUCACGGGCACCGUAAGACAACUGUGAGUUGAGAGAAAUGAAAAUUAGAAAAUCUUAUUGGUGGAAAAACCUCACGGAUACCAUAAGGCAAUGGUGAGCUGAGAGAAAGAAAAUGAGAGAGGCUUGUUGGCGUAAACCCUUCAAGGUGUCACCAGCCGAAUGAGGUCUCUAAAUGCAAUUGACCUAAGGAAGUAACUCAAUUUCAGGGUCAUUAUCUCAACAACAAUUGGUGAAAGUUUGGAUGAAAAGAUCAGGCAGCUUAAUCCAAAUGCAUGGUAUAAUCAUUAGAGUUGAUUGACAUUUUAGAUAAAUUUUCAUUUCUUUGUUUCAAAUGGGGACAUUUAUUGUCUUUUCUUUCUUCUCUUUAUCUUUAUUUUUAUUUUCUUGAUUUAGUUAUCCAAAAAAAAAAUCAUUGUCAUUUUUCUCGUGUCUUUGAGUCAAGUCCAUGACAAAAUAAGUGAGAAAAGAUUUCAAAACUGGCUACCAUCUUCUUCAAUUGCAUAAAGCAAGACAAAGUCACCAUAUGAAAGAGACAUGAUUGUGAGUCGAAUAAGGCCUGCAGAAAGUUUUGUAAACAGACAUCUUGGGAACUCAUGAAAAUACUAAGGUUUAAAGGGUUUAUCUGAGAAGCAUGACAAAGUAGAGAUAUUAUGUUUAUUUCGAAGUCACUCUUAAUAAUCUGAGUUUACGUCAAUGAAACGACAAAGCAGGGGCAAGUUCCAGCAGUCUGAAACAAAAUGAAGGGAAUGAAUACUAGAGCAGGUGUCGGGACAGCCAAGUGCCGCAAGCCACCACUAAGUUUUUAACUAACAAAUUUUCUUUGUUGAAGCAGGGGCAAAUUUCCUUCACUUUAUUCAGCUACCAUUGGAAAUGCACAUCUGUGAGAUUUUACUUUCUAUUCAGGAUCUUCCUGGAAAAUGAAAAUUUACUUUAUGUUCAGGACCCUCCUGAAAAAUGAGAAAUUUACUUUAUGUUCAGAACCCCCCUGGAAAAUGGGAAAUUACUUUCUAUUCAGGGCCCUCAUGAAAAAUGAGAUUUUAUUUUCUGUUCAGGACUCUCCUGAAAAAUGAGAAUUUACUUUCUGUUCAGGACUCUCCUGAAAAAUGAGAAUUUACUUUCUGAUGGGAUUUUAUUUUCUGUUCAAGACCCUCCUGAAAAAUGGAAAUUUACUUUCUGUUCAGGACCCUCCAGAAAAAUGGAAAUUUAUUUUCUGCUCAGGACCCUCCUGAAAAAUGAGAAAUUACUUUCUGUUCAGGGCCCUCCUGAAAAAUGAGAUUUUAUUUUCUAUUUAGGACCCUCCUAAAAAAUGGGAUUUUACCUUCUGUUCAGGACCCUCCUGAAAAAUGAGAUUUUACUUUCUGUUCAGGGCCCUCCUAGAAAAUGGAAAUUUACUUUAUGUUUGGGACCCUCCUGAAAAUGGGAUUUUAAUUUAUGUUCAGGACCUUCCUGAAAAAUAGAAAUUUACUUUAUGUUCAGGACCUUCCUGGAAAAUGAGAAUUUACUUUAUGUUCAAGACCCUCCUAAAAAAUGGGACUUUACUUUCUGUUGAGGUCCCUCCUGAAAAAUGAAACCAUAAUUUCAAACAAUGAAAUCUUUGUUUAUAAUGAUCUUUGUUUAGGAUAAUUCUCCUUCUAGUUUUAUUAUGAUUUCAGAAUCCCGCCUGAAGAACAGGGUGAUGAAAUUGAUAGUCAGGAGCUUGCCUGAAGAACAGGGUGAAAAAGUUGAAUGUCAAGUAAUAAGUCGAAGAAAUCGAAAGUCAAAAAUAGCAAGUCAGGAGCCCGCCUGAAGAACAGGGUGAAUAAAUAAUAGUCGAGCAACGAAGUGAAGCAAUUAGAAGCCAACCAACAAGUUCGAAGAAAUUGUAAGUCAGGAGCCCGCCUGAAGAACAGGGUGAUGAAAUGAAAAAUUGAUGAAAAUUGUAAGUCAGAAGCCCUCCUGAAGAGUAGGGCAAAUAAAUGAAUGUCAAGCAACAAGGUGAAGCGAUUGAAAACCAAGCAACAGAGUGAUUAAAUUGCAAGUCAUCAGCCCGCUUGAAGAAUAGGGUGAAAAAUUGCAAGUCAGGAGCCCGCCUGAAGAAUAGGGUGAAAAAAUUAUAAGUCAAGAGCUCGCCUAAAGAAUAGGGUGAUGAAGUAGCAAGUCAAGAGUCGAGGAAAGCUGCAUAGAUAGAGUUUUUGUAAUUUCAUUUAUAUUUUUAACUUGUAAUUUUUAUUUUUGAUGCAAUGAUAGAGCCGCGGACCGGAACCUCGAUGGAACCUCACUCGACUCUCCAACUCGGUGUAGUCUUUCUCUUUCCAAUCCUUUGAGAUACCCUUGAAUUGAUUCCCUCAUAACUUGGGUAGGUAGGAUGUCCUAAAUCAAAAACUUGGUUUCCCUCAUUCCUUCUGUUUCAUUUUUUUGAAUAAUGGUCGAGACAAAAUUUUGUCUCGUUGUCUACUUCUUUGUGUGAAAACACUUCGUAUUUACAUUCAAAGGGGGCAUGCUGUAGAUACUUAAUUUUGUCCCUCCCAACAUUGAUUUUAUCCAUUUUUAGCUCGCCUUACCACGUGUCCUCAUCCAUGUGAUUAUAAACCAUAAAAAUACAAAAAAUAACAACCCUCAACAAAAUCCUAACAAAUUUUAUCUUGUUUUAAUUAUCCUAACAACCUACCCCACCCCCUACUCACCUUACCACCUCCUUCAUUUUUUAUUAGAUUACUUUUAACCUAAUACACUAACAACAAAAAUAGACAUGGACACAUUGAUCAGCAACGGUAUGGGUAUUCACUCAUUUCCAUUUUUCAGGGAAGGCAUUUUAACAAUACAAAAUUACAUACACUCAUCACUCACAGGAGAUAGAGAAGAGGAAAAUCACGCACCUCACCAGAAAAACACUCUCACUCACAGAAUUAAUAAGCACACACAUCAUUCUUCUCCACCGAUCUUCUCCACAAAAACCACAACAUUCACACAUACACGGGGGGAGAGACAGCAGAGAUAGACAUAACAAAAAAUAAAGGGAGGGAGAAGAGAAGAACAUGAGAGAGAGCGCAACACCAGUGAGAGAAAGAGAUCAAAAAAUGGAAAUCGGUAUGGAAAAGAAGAAUAGAUCGAUUGUUUAGGUUGUUUUUGGUUACAUUUCACCGAGAAAGGGAAUUCUACCAAUUCUCUGAUCAACCACGUCCCAAACCAAUUCUGCUUGGCACCGUCGAAACUCCGGUGAAAUGAGAAACAGUAAGUACAGUUUUAUUCUGACCAAACUAGCAUCAAACAGUCACUACCAACCCCGUUUCAGUUUGAAUCUCACCGGAACUAACAAAAUUGAUGACCAAAUCAACGAAAUCUGACUCGUCCCAUUCGAUUCCGACGAAAUCCUAAUAAAAAAAUGAUAAAAAUAGAAACGGGUCAGUUGGGUCUGUUGGGGGUUUAGUCCAGAUUUUUGGGGUUUGGCUUUGAGUUGGUGGGUCACGGCUGAAGUUCAAUUCGAGGUUCCCGGCAUGGACUCUGUCUCAUAUAAUUGAAUAACACUACAUUAAAAUCGAUAAUUGAGGUUCGAUUCUCUUCUUCCUCUCUUUUUAUUUCACUCUUUAUGAUAUUCGGUGCUAUGGAUUGAACAUUUUCGUGUUGUUUGAUCCUUGUUAAUGGUGAAUAAUUGCUUGGUGUUGAUUCAUGAUUUAUUCAUGAUUUAUGUGUUGUACGAUGAAAUGAUAUCUUGUUUGAGAAUUAAAAUAGAUAAUUUGAGAAUAAAAGUUGGGCGGGAAUUGAAAGUUGAUUUAAAUGAAUAUUUUUGUUUUGAUUUAUUGAUGUCGUUGAUUGUAAUAGUGUCAUGAUUGGUCGAGCUAGGUAAGCAAACAGUAGACUCGGGUAGGCAAAUUUAGAACUUGUGAACUGCAGAAUGUUUGGAUUAUGUGUUGAAGGGUUUUGUUUACCGUAUUUGGAUCAACUGUAUUCAUUUAGCCAGGGAAUGCCCCGAGGACACUUGUAUUUAUUAACUGGGGAAUGUCCCGACGUAUUAUGUUGGCGGAAGAUGUUCGUGAUAAAGAUCUGAGGCACCAGAUGGAGCGUAGUUUAGGAUUAGUGCAGGUUUACAUUUAUGUACAUUUUUAUUUUGGGUUUGUAAUAAUUGGACUGGACAUUAAAUUUUGGAUUCUCGUUUGUUUUGUUUAAUUGUUGUGUGUCUUAUGUGUUUUAUACAUUCAUAGUGUCAAAUUAGCCGAUAUGUUCCCACCAAGCGAUCGUGGUAGAUCCACAGGAUCGAGGGGUGCCUAACACCUUCCCCCGGUCAACAGAAUUCCUUAGCCGGAGUCUCUGUUUGCAAACCAGUUUAAAGGGUCAAAUUGUUUUGAAAAGGAUCUUUCAAAGGUGACUUGGCACACCGGAUUCUGUCAAGUAGCAACUCUGACUAAAAAAUGUAAAUAAUUCUUUUUCGAAAUAAAUUUUCAAUCUUUUGUCACUUUAAUGAUAAAAACUCUUUCGAAACUUAAAUUGAAUCUUUUGGGGUUGAAAAAGGGGUGUGACAAGAGCAAUGCUACAAAAUUGUAGGCUAUCCUCCUGAUUUCAAGAAUAAGAAGAAAAUGCAGGGACAUGAUGCUAAAUCCUAUGCUGCUAAUCAAUUUUUUUUAAGAAUCUAGUUCAGGUGCAAGGGAUCCUAGAGGAGGAUACAAUCCAAGAAAGGGCACAUCUUCUUCAGGAGUAAUGCACGUCAGUGACUAUAGCCUCAACACAGGAAGCUCUUCAUCUCCAGUAGCAGGUGGAAGUAACAAUACUGAGAAUUUUCAUUCUAACAUGACAGGUAUAAAGUCAUUGCUAUCCACUUUUAUGUCUUGUAAAUGGAUACUUGAUUCAGGAGCUACACAUCAUAUAUAACACCUCUUAAACAAUUCUUAAUUGAUCUAAAAGAGGUUGAAAGUGGAGAGAAAAAUGGAUUCCAAGUACCUACUGGUGAUAGAUCGAUCAUCACACAUACAGGAAAUACAACCAAACUAAAAAACAAAACAAUUAAAUGUCCUUUUAUGUUCCUAAUUUCAAGUUCAGCUUAUUGUCAAUUUUGAAAUUGACAAAGGAACUCAGUUGUUCAGUCACUUUCUACCCGGAGUUUUGCCUAUUUCAAGAGAUUUACAGUGGCAAGGUAUUAGGGAUUGGUAAAGAAAUGAAAGGUCUGUACUAACAAGAGAGUUCAAUAACUGCAGCAGUUUCAAUAAAGAAAGAAAAGAUUAUACUCUGUGGCACUUGAGGCUAGGGCAUCCCCCAAUCUCUGUGAUGCAACACGUUUUUUCCUUGCAAGGGAGGAUUUCUGAUAAAUCACAGGACUGCUGCAUGGUUUGUCCAUUUUCCAAGCAGAGUAGACUCAAAUUCCCUAAAAGUACUUCCAAAACUAUUGGUAUUUUUUUUAAUUGGUGCAUGUAGAUGUGUGGGGACCUUUCAAAGUACCUACUUAUGAUAAGAAACUCUAUUUUGUGACUAUUGUGGAUGAUUUUAGUAGAUAUACUUGGACAUGUUUGAUUCAAUCUAAAUGUGAAGUGUUUGUGGUAUUGAAAGAAUUCUUGUCUAGAAUAAAGACUCAAUUUGAUGCUUGUGUGAAAAUUUUGAGAUCAGAUAAUGAAAAAGAUCUCUUCAAUUCUCAAUGUAAUAAAUUGCUUUCAUCUCUUGGGAUUAUUCAUCAAAGUAGUUGUCCUUACACACCAUAACAAAAACUGUGUUGUGGAAAGGAAACAUAGACAUAUAAUAGAAGUAACAAGAGCAAUUAAGUUUCAAAGUGGAGUACCACAUAGAUUUUGGGGAGAUUGUGUAAAAACAGCAAUAUAUAUUUGAUCAAUAAAUUGCCAUCUAAAGUCCUUCUUGGAAAGUCACCCUAUGAACUGUUGUAUGGUAAACCUGCAACACUGGAUCGCCUUAGAGUAUAUGGAUGUUUAUGCUUUGCAAGUGUUUUACCCAAGGUAGGAAAAUUUAAUCCAAGAGUUAGGAAAACUAUAUUUCUAGGGUACAUGGAAACACAAAAGGGAUACAAACUGCUUGACAUGGAUUCUGGUGCUUUUCUGAUUAGCAGAGAUGUAGUUUUUCAAAAAACCAUAUUCCCUAUCAAAGGAACAACUGAAGGUGGUGAUGCUAUUUUCUGUGACAUUCCAAUAUUUUCCGAUAGUACCUGGUCCCCUCUACAAAUGAUAAUUGAUCACUCCAUAAAUGAGCCUCAGAUCACUAGUGAAACAUCACUGCCUACUGAUAUUCCUGGUACUGAUGUUUCUGGUGUUGUUCCAGCGGAAUCAACAACUACUCAUGUUCCUGAUAACAUUAAGAUUACAACACAAAUUGAAGAACAUGCAGCUUCUGCACCUUUCUUAUUUAUAGAUGAGUCUAACAGAAGACCUAGUAGAGUGCUUAAAUCACCUCUUUUGGAUGCAAGAUUAUGUUACAACUAACAAGAUCAAGAAGUCUACAAAACAACCUCAUUAUCCUAUUGCCAAUUAUCUAUCAUAUACAGCUCUUUCUCCUACAUAUGUCUCAUAUUUAGCAACUCUCUCCUCAACUGUAGAACCAUAAAGUUUUCAAGAGGUUUCACAGGAUAAACAUUGGAUAAAAGCUAUGCAACAAGAAAUUGCAUCACUGGAGGACAAUCACACAUGGGAGGUAGUAGAUUUGCCAGCAGUAAAAAGAACUAUAGGGUUCAAAUAGGUGUAUAAAAUAAAGUACACUGCAAACGAAGAUGUAGAGAGGUACAAGGCAAGGCUGAUGGCAAAGGGCUAUACACAAAAUGAGGGGCUUGACUAUCAUGACACCUUCUCACUUGUGGCAAAAAUGGUCACAGUGAGAACUGUCAUCAGUGUUGCAGCAUCAUAGAAUUGACCCUUAUUUCAUAUGGAUGUUAGUAAUGCAUUCCUACAAGGAGAUUUAGUUGAAGAAGUUUACAUGGAUAUGCCCCAAGGUUUUCAUCCACAAGGAAAACAGAGAAAGGUUUGCAGACUACUUAAAUCACUAUAUGGUUUGAAACAAGCUUCUAGGAAAUGGAAUAUCAAGUUAACUGAAGCAUUAACAUAUGCUAGUUAUGUUCAAAGUGCACAUGAUCACUCCCUAUUCACCAAAAAGAAAGAAGAUGCACAGGUCAUUAUUCUUGUCUAUAUAGAUGACUUGAUGAUUACGAGAAAUGAUGCACAAUUGAUCUCUGACACUAAGUCUACACUAUACAAGAAUUUUAAGAUUAAAGAUCUUGGUGGCUUAAAAUAAUUCCUUGCCAUAGUAGUGAUGAGAUCAACUAAGAGGGUGAUACUUAAUCAGAGGAAAUACUCACUAGAACUUCUGUCAGAAGUGGGAUUGAGUGGCGCUACACCUGCACCUAUACCUUUUGAGUCAAAUAAGAGAUUGACAACAGUGGAAUACUAUUAGCAGAUGGGAUGCACUGAUGAUCAGUUAUUGAAAGAUGUUACAAGCUAUCAGAAACUUGUAGGAAAACUGAUUUAUCUUACCAUUACUAGGCCUAAUCUUUGCUUUGCUGUCCAAGUACUUAGCCAAUUCAUGCAAAAACCUAAAUAAUCUCAUCAAGAAGCUACCUUUAGAGUUCUGCGAUAUGUGAAAGAAAGUCCAGGACUUGGCCUCUUUUUCCCAGCAGGGUCUAAGCCACAGUUAACUGUAUAUUGUGACUCUGACUGGGCUGCUUGUCCAAAUACUAGGAGGUUUGUUACAGGGUAUGCAGUGAAAUUGGGUGAAUGUUUGAUUUCUUGGAAAUCAAAGAAACAACACACUGUCAGUAGGAGCUUUGUAGAAGCUGAAUAUAGGAGCAUGGUUGCUGCUGUUGCUGAAAAAGUAUAGAUCACUGGAUUACUUAAUGACUUAGGGAUCAAGAUAACUACUCCAGUUUCCCUGAUCUAUUGUGAUAACAAGUUAGCUAUUCAAAUAGCUUUCAACCCCAUCUUCCAUAAAAGAACCAAGCAUAUUGAAUUAGAUUGUCACUUUGUAAGAGAGAAGCUUAAAGAUGGACUGAUUCAGCCUGAGUUUGUGAACACAAGUUGUCAGUUAGCAGAUGUUUACACUAAAGGUCUCUGUGGUGCUUAACAUCAGUUCUUGAUAUCUAGACUAGGUGUACAUAAUGUUUUCCACAUUCCUAUUUGAGGGAGAGUAUUGGAAUAUCUUCACAAGGAAUGUAUUACUUGAUGAGCUGGCAAGAUUAGUUGUAACUGACGCAAGUGUAGCUUGAUACCCUCUCUAUAUAUAGAGUCAAUGUAACAGUGAAAAUAGAGCUUGAUAAUAAGAUAUUUCUUCUUCUCAAUUUUUUCCUCUUUCUGGAAGUUUCCCAUCAGUGAUGGUUGCUUGAAUUCAUCUAGCUACUGCUAGAUUUCACACAUACCAAGCAUUUCUUUCAACAACCUAGAAACGCGAGUAUUAUUCUACAAACUUAGAGAAAAAAAAAAAUUUACUAGGCGUAGUAUCUUUCUAGCGAAUAGAACUUAAUUUUUUUUACUAACAAAUUUAUUUCUAAGCUUUCUUUGUUACUGCAAGAUGAGCUCAAAAGUUAUUUCAGGUUGCAUUUGAGAAUCCUAUGUAUGAUAUUCACACUUUUUUUUAAAAAAAAAUCCAUAUAUAUAAUUAAUAUUUGACUCAAGCAUUAUGUGGGACAGAAAGCUCAUGAUUAGAGAGUAAAUGUUAUGUCAUUGGGUUUUUGUGUAUGAAGCUCUGCCUCAGGUUUUCUGUUGACAUUAUGUGCAACAGCAUAGGGUGUGGACCUUCCAGGCCACCCAGACUGAUGUUCAAGUCUCAUGGCAUCACAUGUAUAUAUAUUAUCCUAAAUUAAUUCCACAUAUUAUCAUUCACCAAAAAAAUAUAUGUUGUUCUAAACACUUUUAAUUUCUCUUUGAGAGUACAGUGCGCCUCUUCAAACAGAUUAAGUAUUACUCCUCGGUUCAAUAAUUCUUGUUGACUGUUAACUUGACACACAGAAAUAAUAAAUAAUAAGAUAAUUUUACUAUAUAUAACCCUUUAAUAUAAUAAAUUUAAUACCUUGGAAAGUGUAUUGAGUGAUGAAUAAUUUUUAAUAGCAAGAGUAAAAUGAUUAGAAAAUGAUGAAUUAUCUAUUGAUUUUUCAAAAUGGACAACUAUUAUUGAUCAUUUGUUUUAAUACUAGUUUAGCUGUACGUGUCUCGCACGUGUAACUUUUGAUUAUUUAAAAUUAAAUAAUUUUAUCUAUCACGAAGGUUUUAAUGAAGUACAAAAAGUUUAAAACAGAUAUUUUAUCGUAAGCGCAUAUAUAUAUAUAUAAGAAAAAUAGUUAUGUUGUUAGAUUCGAACAUACGAGAAUAUCAAACCUGGAAAUCAAAAUUCUCAAACAAAACAGAUGUAAUAAUGCAUGGUGUGUUAAACUUAAAAUCACUCUCUAAGAUAAAGAAAAAAUAAUAAGUCACGACAACCAAUAGAAAAGGAAAAACAACUCAAAAAAGAGAGAGAAUAAUAUACUAACCUAGCGGAUAACAAUUACAAUGGUUGGAGAAAACACAAAAUACAAGCGUGAAACAGGAUAAUAUAUAUUAAUAUAAAAAUAUGUUGAAAAUUAAACCUAGUCCUAAUUUAAGAAAAAAAACUUACCAUAUUUUAAAGUCCUAAUCCAUUCUCAUAUUUUAAAAUCCUAACCCAUAUAUUUUAGGAUUCAAAAUUAUAUAUAUAAUUAAAUAAUAAUUGGAGAAAAAAAAAGUGAAAAGACGAUUUUGUCUAUUGUAAAGUGUUUUAAUGAAGGCCAAAACGUUCAAAUCACUUUUCUAAAUAUCUUCCCACUUUUAAUAUAUUAUAGAAUAGAUAUAGGUUAUAGAUAUAGAUACAGAUUAUAGAUAUAGAUAUAGAUAAUGGACAAGUAUUAUUUAACAAAGGGAGUAUAUAUAAUGGUUGCAACAUUAUAUUACCUUACAAUACUUGGCGAAGAGUUUAAUUUCACUAUUGACUUCCUAAUAUCAUUAGUUAUACGGCUUUAAAUAUAUGCGUGUAAACAAAGUACAUAGUAGACUACUGGGUGCUACAACUAAAUUAUUUAUACUCUACAAAUGCAAAAAAAUGAAUGGUCUAGUAAAUCAAAUAUUAAAUUCUUCUAUAAUUAAACCACUAAUUAUUUUUUAUUUUUUUUUAAAACUAUAGUAACAACAAUAUAAUCAACAAAUGUAACAUCCAACUUGGGUACAAGAAAAAAUUUUAGGAGAGUUGGAAAAGAUCUAUUAGGGAAAUAUUUUAUCUGUAUCGUGUGUUUAUAUUAGCAUCAAAUAUGCAACUUAUUAUAGUUAAUUGAUUCAAUAAAGUACAUACUAAUUAACUAUAGUCGAGUGAUAGUAACAAAUAUAUAUUCUAAACACAUGCAAAGGAAUUCAUUAAUUUGAUAUGAAUGCGAAUGAAUUUAUAUUAUUAUCGUUAUUGUACCUAAUACCCUUGCGAGUAGUUGCAGAUACAUCCUUCAGAGACCGUUGCUAAUUAAAUUAUGAAUUGUUCAAUGUAUUGACUAAUCGUUGACGUUCAAAGCUUAUCACAAACUUUCCAAAAUAGAAGCAUAAUAUAUGACUAGUCCCUUCAGAGUCUAAUAAACCAACCAACUCAAAAUAAAUUAGAAUUAGACCUCAAUCAAUUACAUACUGUCCAUCAAUAUGCCACUAUAUUGGUUCACUGCAUCUAGGGAUUCCACUUUUCUAGUUAAAUUUAUAUUAGAAAAAACUUAGUUGGAUCUUCCUAUUUUCAUUUUGCAUUGCUAUAGAUAAUAAAAGAGAUUAUUCCCUAAUAAGAGUUUAUUCAGUACAACAACACAAAUAAUGCACUUAAAGUGGUUAGCUAACGACUGUUUAUUAUAUUAACUCGAACCUAACUGAGAUUGAAGGCAGCAAGAGUAGUUAUCAGUUAUCAACUUAUCAACAUCAAACUUCUUAGUCAAGAAAGUUGUUUAUCUAAUUAAUGAGAUGUUUAUCCAUAUUGAUUUCAAGUAAAUCAACCACACUUUCCUACAUUCAUGCAUUUAAUUUCAAGGGGAACCACAGUCCACAGCCCAUGUUCCUCCUCCCAUUAUAUUCAUUAGUAAGUUUUCUGAUGAAGGAAAUUAUAAUUAAUUUAAAAGUCUGUUCAAUAUUUAAAGGAUAAUUUGAUCUCUCAAUAUUGCUAUUCGUCCUUUUAUAAUAAUGCAGAUAUAGAUGUGUGCGCAUCAAGUUAUUGGGUCAUACUAUUUUAUAACACUUUACGGAUUUACUUUAGUUUUAUAUUUAUUAUAAAACUUUUAUUUUUACGCAUAAGACAUCUAAAAAUUAACAUAUGGAAAAUCUUUUGCAGAAUCAAUUGUUUAUUCAAAUUGUAUAAGGCUGUACAUUCAUCAAUUUCCUAGCUCUCGAGAUUUAUAUAGUGCAAUAAUUCCUAGUUACCUCUUCAAGUGAAAGUUGAUCUCAUAUUCCAUGUCUAUCUUGUUGUUUUUCCCCUUCUUUUUUUAGCAUUGUGCUUGGAGUUUCAAAUCUCUCACAUUUGUGGGCAUUUUAUCCUCUCUGGCAUUUUGUUGGAAGUAUUUUUUUCCUUUUCUUUCUCUCUUCAUUUGAUUUAUUCCUUCAAUUCUAUUGAGUACAAUUAACAGUUGUAAUUGUUGUAAAUCUUACGAAAAAUACCUUCUUCACUUGUAUGGAAUUCAUACAGCUUGAGGCAUGUAAAACAGUAUCCUUAAGGAUAUUUCACUCGAUAUGGAUGUAUCUUUGGAAUUCAACAAGCUCUUCCAAUAUUAACUAUGAGCCAAAAUCUAUCAAAGAUUAACAAAACAAAACCCAACACACUAUAUUAUGAUAUAAGAAAAUUUUUUGUCUAGUUCAUCCCUCAAAAAAGAAGAUUGAGUUGAUUUAUAUAGUUAAAAAAUUCAUCAAAUGGGUUGUCAAUGUUGACCAAAAAACGUCGUAAUUGUUAUCAAAUAUUAAUGGGUCGUGCCUCAAAAUUUGGUCAUUAAGAAAAAUAAUAUGACUCAUCAAUAGUAUGUUAUAGAAAGGCUAAACAUUUGAGGAGUUAGAGAAAUUAAAAAAGAAUAAAGGUCAACUAAUAGCUAUUCAAGAAGACAAUCAAAGCCAUUAAAGUAGAAAUCAACUGUUAUUAUAGACAUAGUAAUUUCUUUUUUAUAUAUCCAACUGUAAUUGGGGGAAGGGGGCUAAUUCAACCUGAACUCAUUUGAUUCACCUAAUCAAAUCAGUUUUUAAAAGAAUUGGGCAUGAUACAUUACAGACAGAUUAAGUUCGAGCACUAUCUAUUUUAACUCAUAUUAAAAAAAAAAAAAAAAAAAAAAAAUCGUAACAAAAAAACUAUCAAAAUUCCAAACAUCAAAAACUUGAUAAGAUUGAUAUGAUUAAACUCAACCCAUGACUACUCAGCAUAGGUAAAAAAAAAAAAUUUUAGGAUUUGGCUCCUCCCCAUAUUUUAUCCUCUCUAUUUUUUCCAAGUUAGAAUUGAAAUUUCAUUUCCAAAUGAAAUCCUCUAUGUAUCCUUAAUAUUAUUUAUGUACAUAAACCUUUUAUUUUCCUCAAAACACUUCAUCUACUCAAUUAUUUUGUAAAUCAAGAAACUAAACAUGCUAUAAUUAUAAAUUAAAUUGGAAUUGUAGGGUUAACUUGAGGUUUGCUAAAGUAUAAACUUUUAAAGGAAAAUCUCUAUAGUUUAAAUUAGUAUUGAAGUUUUUAUACUCACAUAUGACAUGCAGUUGUAUAUGUCGCUGUAUAUUGUGGGUAUGUCUUGUAUAUUUUGUAUAUGCCAAAGUAUAUCAACAUAUAUCAUGUGUAUAUCAAGUGCAUAAUUUAUAUUUACAUAUACAUAAAAGAUAAUGAUAUACAAGCUAUACACGGAGGAAGAAAUAUUUGAAGUCAUAGGAGAAAACUAUUGAGGAUAAAAAAAACUACCGCGAAUAAAAAAGCAACGAAUAGUGUUAGUGAAGCACCAUUGAUGGGGCAACACUGGGGGUAGGGGUAGGGGUAGGGGUAGGGGUAGAGGUAGGGGUGUGAAAAAAUCGAACCGAUAAAAAUAUUAUUGGUUUAUUAUUAUUGGUUUAUUGGGUUAAUGAUUUUUUACUGAUUUUAUAAAAAAAAAUUAUUGGAUUAUUGGUUCGGUUCGAUUUUUUCUUAUUGGGUAAACCGAUAACCUAAUAAAAAUAUACAUAUAUGUGUGUGUGACUUAUUAGAUAUUUCUCUUUAAUUUCUACAAAUUAACAAACCUAUUAUUUCAAUUAUAAAAACUCUUAAUUUCUCCUAACAACAUUUAGUUCAAACUUGAAGAUUCUUGUAAUUUAAAACACUAUCAUGUAGGAUUUUUGGUUGCAACUAAGAUUCGAUUUUUUGUUAUGUUAGUUACUACUGUUUCUAUUUUAUCAGUAUUUUCUUAUCGGUUAAACCGAAAACUGAACUGUUAAAGAUUAAAAAUCGAUAAACCUAUAAAAAAUAUCUUAUUGAUUUGAUUAUUAGUUUAGCAUAUAAAAAAAUAAAAAAUCGUUAAACUGAAUCGAUAAUAUAUAAAAUCGAACUAACGAAUGCACACCUAAAUGGGGCAUGGCUAGGGUGUGACGGUGUGUGUGAAAGAGAAGACAACAAUCUUUAAUUUUGUGAAAUUUGUUGGAGGUUUAUAUGUUUAGUAAACCAUUUUUUCUCUUUUUGAAAAUUGGAUAGUAUUGGUAGUUGUAGUAAGUGUCAUACAUUUAUUUUUGUGCAUCCAGAAAAUUAUACCUUGUUUUUGUUCUCUUUCCGUCUCACAUUACUCCCACCGUUUCAUAUUAGUUGGCCUCUAUGGACUUGGCAUACCCAUUAAGAAAAUAUUAAUUAGGAGAUUUAUUUUACCAAAUUAGUCUUAUUAAUUAUGUUUUGAAAAUAUAAAUUUGAAUAAAUACAAUUUGUUUAGUCAUUUAAUGUUAAGGGUAGUAUUGAAAGAACAUAAUAAAAUUCUCUUGAUUUCAUCAAAGAAACAACUAAAUUAAAACAAAUAUUUUUAGAAAGAGGGUCAACUAAAACAAAACGGAGGGAGUACUUGACAUUUAUUUCUGUCUCAUAUUAUAUUAAAUUGAUAUGUUUGAAGAAUCAAGAGAUAAUUUGACAUAUUUUUCCAACCCUACCCUUAAUAAUUUAAUGGGAGAGUAAUUAACUCUAAUAAGUAAUGAUAAUAUUUAAAGUGAGUUUAAUAGGAUCGUAUUAGUCAAUUUGCACUUCCUAUUAAUUUCUUCUUAAGAGUUGUGUAAAAGAUAAACAUGUCAAGUAAUAUGAGACGGGGGAAGUAUUCAUAAAGAACACUUCUUUUUAUGUCCACUUACAAUUUAUACCCGAAAAAAUGAUUCUGCAAAUAUUUCUUUUAUUAAUUUACAUAUCUACUUUUUCUUUACGACAUGUCUAACCAAGUGUUUCUUAAGAGGAAAUAUUGAAAUUACUACAUGUUGUUGGAUCCUCAUAUACAUUGUGAUUAUGAUGUCAAAAGUUCUUUUCACUCAAACUUAUUAGCAUCUUUAUUAGUUCUUAGACUUUAUAUGAUUUAUUUUAUGCAUUAUUUAUAAAACGUGUUUUCGUGCUUAUUAUAUGCUUUUACCUUAAAAAGUCUUAUUUGAUUACGGAUACCUCCUAAACUUACUACAUAAUCCAACAAUAGAUCAUGGAGCAAAAGUGUUGUUAGGGUUGUGAUCCGAAUUAUGUUAAGUGAGCCCUGAAUGGACUUUCAUGUUUUUGGGCCUAGGAUUUAUUUAUACGCACGUAUUAUAUAAGUGCAUUUAGUGGGUUAUUUUGUGCAUUCAGAAAAUUCAGUCUUCUCCACAUUGUACUCUCUUACCAUUAUAGUGAAACCUCCUCUGCCUCUGCCCGUGGUUUUUCCCGCAAGGAAUUUCACGUAAAUCUGUGUGUUCUUAUUUUCUUUUACUUGUGGUUUGCUUAUUCUGUCCUAAUCAUAACAAACUGGUAUCAGAGCAUAUUCGAUUGUUUUCUUGGGAUGACAACCAUUAAGUAUGAUAUUCCAUUGUUGGAUCGCAACACUAGAUUUUUGUUAUGGCAAGUUAAGAUGGGAGUUGUGCUCGCGCAGAUGGAUUUAGACGAUGCUUUAUUAGGGUUUGAGAAGAUGCCCUCAUUGUGGACAGACGAGGACAAACGACGUAAGGAUCGGAAGGCUCCAUCUCAGAUCCACCUUCAUUUAUCCAAUCAGAUUCUACAGGAUGUUUUGAAGGAGGCCACAACCGUUGCGUUGUGGUUGAAACUGUAAUCGUUGUGUAUAACAAAGAGCCUAACAAGUAAGUUGCAUCUCAAGCAAAGAAUUUAUUCCCAUCACAUAUUGAGGGUGCGUCCUUGGAGGAUCACCUAUCUGUAUUUAAGGAAAUCAUUUCUGAUUUAGAUACUCUGGAGGUUAAGUACGAUGAAGAAGAUCUAGGGUUGAUUUUGUUGUGUUCGCUGCCUACAUCAUACACGACCUUUAGGGAUACGAUUUUAUAUAGUCGUGAUACCCUGACGAUUGAUGGAGUCUAUGAUGCAUUGUUCUCUAAGGAGAAGAUGAAGCAUCUUGUGAAUAGGUCGAAGAGUCAAGGGAAUGGUCUCAUUAUUCGAGAAGGAAGGACCCAUGAGAGGAAUUCUGGGGGUGAUGACAGAAAUAGGUCAAAAUCCAGAAACAAAAACAAAACUUGUAAUUAUUGCAAGAAGAAUGGCCAUAUCAAAUCCAAGUGUUGAAGCUACAAUAUAGAGAGAAAAGAGAAGCUCCAAAACUGAAGGGAAACCAACUAGAGAAGUCCAAUGAAGGCAGUUUUGUGCAAGAUGGCGGUAGUGAUGGAGAACUCUCGGUAGUUUCUGAUGGUAACUCCAAACCCUGUGAGGAUUGGAUUCUUGAUUUAGCUUACACAUUUCAUAUGUGUCAUAAUCGGGAUUAGUUUACAACAUAUGAAACAGUCUCUAAAGGUGUUGUGUUGAUGAAAAAUAACACACCUUGUAAAAUAGUUGGUAUUGGAAAAAUCGGGAUCAAGAUAUUUGACGGGGUUGUGAGGACACUUGGUGAUGUGCGGUAUGUCCCAGACCUGAAGAGAAAUCUUAUUUCCUUGAGUACCUUUGAUUCGAACGGUUAUAGGUACACUGGUGAAGGUGGAGUCCUGAAGGUUACUAAAGGUGCUCUUGUUGUGAUGAAGGGACAGAGAAAGUCUGCAAAUUUAUAUGUCCUGCAAGGCUCUACUGUUAUAGGUGAUGCAGUUGUUUCUACCUCCUCUCUAUCAGAAAGUAACGUUGCUAAACUUUGGCAUAUGCGUCUUGGGCAUGAGUGAAAACGGUAUUGCUGAACUAAGUAAGAGAGGACUUCUUGAUGGGCAGAGUAUUACCAAAUUGGAGUUCAGUGAACAUUGCAUUUUCGGGAAGCAGAAGAGAAUCAGAUUCACUAAAGGCAUCCACUCAACUAAGGACACACUUGAUUACAUUCAUUCUGAUCUCUGGUUCCUGCUAGAGUACCUUCUGGAUGAGGCGUUAAUUACUUGUUGACUAUUAUUAAUGACUAUUUCAGAAAAGUUUGGGUGUUCUUUUUGAAGCAAAAGAAUGAUGUGAUGCCAACUUUCAAGGAGUGGGAGACUAUGAUUGAAAAGCAGACAGGGAAACAGGUAAAACGCCUUCAGAUCGAUAAUGGUUUAGAGUUCUGUUCAAAUGUAUUUAAUGUUUUGUGCAAGUCAGAAGGAAUUGUGAGGCACUUGACAAUUGGUCAUACUCCGCAGUAGAAUGACGUGGCCGAAUGAAUGAAUAGGACUAUAAUGGAGAAAGUGUGUUGUAUGCUCUCUAAUGUUGGUUUACCCAAGUCUUUUUGGGCCGAAGCUACUUCCACAGCUUAUUUUCUUAUUAAUCGCUCUCCCUCAGUCGCGAUUGAUAAAAAGACUCUACAAGAGGUAUGGUCUGGUACUCCUGCUAGUUAUUCUGAUUUGAGAAUAUUUAGAUGUCCUGCGUAUGCUCAUGUUGAUAAUGAAAAGUUGGAGCCUAGAUCUGUCAAGUGUUUAUUGAUGGUUAUAAGCCUAGUGUUAAAGGUUAUAAGCUUUGGUGUCCAAAAAGCAGAAAAGUUAUAAUUAGCAGGGAUGUUGUGUUUGAUGAAACUGCCAUGCUUCGGGCUCCCUUCGAAUCUAGUGCUUCGCCUUCGGAUAAGCUUAGUGACAUGAAUCAGCAAUAGUCAAGCACCCAUGUUGAAUUGCAGAUUGGAGUAGAGUCUACACCAAUGCCUACUUCUCAGCCUAGCUUAGAGAUACAGAGUGAUACUAUUUCUUCUUCACUGCCAGUGGUGCCAUAAUAUUCUAUUGCUAAAGACUGGCCUAGAAGAGCUAUUAGACCUCCUCAGAAGUAUACUGAAGCUAAUUUGGUUUCUUAUGCAUUGAGUGUAGCAGAAGGUAUUGAUUUUGGUGAAGAUCUUUCUUCUUACUCAGAUGGAGUUAGUUGUGAUGAUUCCAGCAGAUGGAUGAUUGUUAUGCAGGAGGAGAUGGAAUCACUUCAUAAGAAUGACACAUGGGAUCUGGUGAGAUUGUCUAAAGAUAAAAAAACUGUCCGUUGCAAGUGGGUAUUCAAAAAGAAAGAAGGAACAUCGGGAGCUGAAGAUGCUAGGUACAAAGCAAGACUAGUUGCUAAAGGUUAGAGUCAGGUUCCAGGUAUUGACUUCACAGAUGUGUUUCCUCCAGUUGUAAAGCAUAGUUUGAUUCGAGCAUUUCUUGGUAUUGUGGCCAUGCAUAAUCUUGAGCUUGAGCUGUUGGAUGUCAAAAUUGCAUUCUUACAUGGAGAAAUUGAGGGGAAUAUAUAUAUGCAGCAACCAGAGGGCUUUGUAGUCUCAAGAAAAGAGACUAUGUAUGCUUGCUGAAGAAGCCUCUUUAUGUCUUAAAGCAGUCGCCCAGACAGUGAUAUAAGAGGUUUGACUGUUUUAUGACCUCUCAUAUUUUUCAGAGGAGCAGCUAUGAUAGUUGUGUCUACUUCAAGGAGGUGAGUGAUGGUUCAUUCGUGUAUCUUCUCUUAUAUGUUGAUGAUAUGGUGAUUGCAUUAAAGGAUAUGAGAGAGAUAAUAAAAUUCAAAGCCCAGCUCGGUAAGGAGUUUGAUAUGAAGGAUUUAGGAGCAACAAAGAAGAUUCUUGGCACGGAGAUUUUGAGGGAUAGAAAGAAUUGUAAGUUAUACUUGAGUCAGAAAAAAUAUAUUGAAAAAGUGUUUCACAUGUUCAAUAUGCAAAAUGCCAAGCCUGUUAGUACUCCAUUGGCAACUCACUUCAAACUCUCGAUCACUUUAUCUCCAAAAAUAGAUGAUGAGCGUGACCAUGUCUCGAGUUCCAUACUCUAGUGCUGUCGGGUCUCCUAUGUAUGCGAUGGUGUGUUCCCGACCAGAUUUAUCUUAUGCUGUCAGUGUAGUUAGCAAAUACAUGGCAAAUCCGAGCAAAGAACACUGGAAAGCAGUUCAGUGAAUUUUCAGGUACUUGCAUGGAUCUGCUGAUGUUUGUUUGCAGUUUGAGCGAAAUAAAGAUGGAGUAAUCGGGUAUGUUGAUUCUGAUUUUGUAGGAGAUCAUGAUAAAAGAAGAUCCCUUAUAGGCUAUGUUUUCACCAUUGGUGGAUGUGCUAUUAGUUGGAAAGCUACCUUACAGACUACGGUUGCUUUGUCAACUACUGAGGCAGAGUACAUGACUAUUACAUAGGCUUUCAAGGAAGCUAUUUGGUUAAAGGGUCUGUUUGGUGAACUUAGUAAAGACUUACAGAUUACUACGGUCUUUUGCGACAGUCAGAGUGCUAUCUUCCUUACGAAAGAUCAGAUGUUUCAUGAAAGGAAAAAGCACAUCGAUGUUCGGUAUUAUUUUGUGUGUGAAAUUAUUGCUCGUGGUGAUAUUGUGGUGAGAAAGAUUAGUACUCAUGAUAAUCCUGCUGAUAUGGUGAGCAAGACACUACCAAGUGCCAAGUUUGAGCAUUGUUUGGACUUGGUUAGUGUUAGUUGUUGAGAUGUGCCCUUAGGGGCUUUUGCGGAAGAGAUGGAGAGUUUGUCUUGAAAUGGAUUUUAGUUUUAAAUUAGAAUUCGUGUCAAGGUGGAGAUUGUUAGAGUUGUGACCCGAAUUAUGUUGAGUGGGCCCUGAAUGGACCUUUAUGUUUUUGGGUUUAGAAUUAUGUUCAGUCUUCUCCACAUUGUACUCUCUUUCCAUUAUAGUGAAACCUCCUCUGCCUCUGCCCGUGGUUUUUCCCGCAAGGAUUUUCACAUAAAUCUGUGUGUUGUUCUUGUUUUCUUUUACUCGUGGUUUGCUUAUUUUGUCCGAAUCCUAACAAGUGCCAGUAGCUAAUCAGCUUGCUAGUUUUCAGUUAACUAUAUGGACAAUAGUGGGAUACAAAUGUUUCAUGUACCACCCUUUUUUGGUAUGGAUAUUUUGGAAAACAGUCUUCUACGUAAAUGCAAGGUAAGACCGCAUACAACACACCCUUGUGAUGGAGUUCUUCCCUGGACCAUGCACAUAGUGAGAGUUUUAGUGCAUCGAACUGGCUUUUUUUAUAUUUUGCAGACAGACCAAAGAGGAGUGCACACUACUUGAAGCUUGGCUAUAGAUGUUUUGAAUACCAAGUUGCUUGAUACAAUUUUGUAAUCAAUACUUUUGUAAUUCUUCAACCUGUAACACUAACUCAUUAUAUAAUUCUCCUCUCAAUUCAAGUAGAAAUGGCUAGGAUCCUUGUAGCAAUAGAAAUAGUCAGGAUCUUUAUAGCUCCAACAUAAGAAUAAUCAUGGUGGCAAAUAUGUUGUAUCUUAGUAGUUUAACUAAUAGCUCCCUUGUAUGGAAGUAAUGUUUUGAAAGAAAAAAAAGUCUUUCUUCACCUUUUUAGAAGGUUGUCAUUCAAAUUUACUAGACGAAAAUUUGAUUAAGAAAAUCUAUCGAGUCAUAGAUAAAAGAUCAACGAUUUUGACUUUGACUGUGUUUUCGUUUUCAUAAUCUUUUUUUUUUGUUGUUGUUGUUGUUAUGAUUGUUUUUGAAUUAGUUGUUAAAAAUUCUACAUUCUUUUUACGUAGUAAAAAUUUUUGCAGUCUGUUGGAAGAUUAUAGAAAGUUAUUUAAAUAAUUUGAUGAUGAUAUCUAAUCAUUCACAGACAUUUUAAAACACCUGAAAAGAUGUUUUAAACAUCCACGAAUUAUUUAAUUAAGAGAAUCGAAAAAAAUAUUUAAAUAUUUUGUUAAUUUUUUGGAGGAGGUUAAGGAGGAAAGUGAAGGGACCGAUGAGUGAGGAGUUUGUGUAAAUAAUUUUCAUCAUUAGCAUUAAUUUAAAAAUUGCCCCUCCUAUACUUAGCUAUUUCUUAAAACUUGAAAUUUGAAACUUAAAUAAAAAGCUCGAAAAUUCUUUAUCAUUCAAUGUUUAGGCUUUAUUGGUAUCCUGUCUAUGAUCAUAGUUGGGGCAUACUUUCAUUUUCUUUGAUAUAAGUAUAAUUGAUCACGUUUUAAACACCACUAGCUAUCCUAGCUUUAGUCCAACUUAGUCCUUUUCUUUUUCAAUUUUAUUCGUAUUUUUUGGGAAUAUAUAGAAGAUAGUAUUGCGUUUAGUAUAUUUUAGAGGUUCAUAACAUAAUUUAGUGAUGUUUAUAAUUCGAUUCACAAAUUUUAGUAUCUAGCUACUGCUUUAUACAUAACAAUAUUAUUAAUGAAGAUUAGAUCUAUAUUAGAAUUUAGACAACUCAAUUAACUAGUCUAUCAGUCAAUUAAAUACAACUUCCACUCAGCAAAUAAUAUGAUAGUAAUUCAUUACUUUAUUAUCUUUGAAAAAUAGACACUUUAUAUUUGUAAUAAUUUGACGAUUAUUAUCUAAAACUUCAACAUCUAGUGCAGUUUUCCUAGGUAUUAUUUACCAUUAUUGAAUCUUUAAAAAAUAUAUAACUAAAAUCCUAGGCUCCAUAAGUUUACAUAUUCAAUAACAAAAAGGGAAAAGGACACUCUAUAACACUUUUUAAAAUAAAUAGCCCAAGUUUAAAAACUUUUCAAAAAGUGGUCAGUCGGAUAUAUUAUUUUCGCUUUAUAGUUAUUUCCUAAUUUGGGUCAUUUCGGCCUACGUAGUCCAUAUAUAAUAUUGAUAUAGUCUAUAUACAAUAUCGAUACAGUAUUCAACUUGGGCAAUUCGGCUCUUUUAAAAAUAUUUUAAUUUUUUAUUUGCUAUAAAUUUUUUAAUUGAUCAAAUAUUCUGUCAUUUUUUUAUUGUUUACAAAUAAUAAUUAAAUUAUAUAAAAAUGAUAUAAUUGUUAAAUUGAAUAUGUAUCUAUAUAAGAUAUAUGUAUAGAAAUUGUAUAGUUUUAUGAAAUAUGUAUAUGUAUAAAAUAUAUAUAAAAAAUAUAUAAAAAGUUUAUGAAAAUUAUAUAAUUAUUGUAUAAAACGUGUAAAAAAAAUGUACAGUUUUGUAUAAAUUGUAUAUCAAAAUUGUAUAAUUUUCGUAUAGAAUAUUUAUAUGCAUAAGAUUUGUAUAGAAACUGUAUAGAAGGUAUGUAAAAAUGGUAUAGAACAAGCCAGUAAAUUGAAAUGGCUAGAAAGUGGAAUUUAAAUUUAUGGUCAUUUUCAUGGAAAUAGUUUAAUUUGAAAUGUCGUUUCUUUCCUUUCCCCCAACAAAAAUACCUGAAAGAAAUAACUACAAGUCCACAACAAUAGGAGGUAUAGUUAUAUUUGGAUUAAUUUCAAAUUCAUGUUAUAGUUAAAUAUGAAUUAACAACACAAGCUUAUCAUAAGCCGCGAUAUGAUAAUUAAAUAGUGAAAUGACUAUUAAUUAUCUAAAAUUUUAGAAUAUUCAUUCAAGGAUUAAAAGAGUAUAUUUUAAUUAGUUAAAUAGAUUAAACGAAAAGGGGUCUAAAAUAUACUUUAUUUAUUAAAAAUGGCAUAAAAAUAUCUUUCAUCCAACCUUUGGUUCUAUAAUGUCCUUCACAUCCAUCUUUGGUUCCAAAAUGCCCUUCACAUCCGGGACUCCAAAAUAUCUUUUAUUUAACAACCCAAUAUUAAAUCAUGAAAAAAAAAAUAUAUCAAUGAUGUGACACCUUCCUAUUGGUUUUCAUUUAAUUAAUUAAAAAAAAAUUAAAAAUCAUAACCCACAACACUCGACCCGCCCAUUAACCUUAAUCAACACCCCCAUUAUAUUUUCUAUCUAUUCUUUACUGACAAUUCUCCCAAGUCCCAAGUUCCACCCUUUCAAAUUUGACUAUCAAUGUUGGAUCCUAAUGAGUUAAGUUAGUUGAUUUUGUGAGGAUCAAUACUAUUAUAAUAGGAUUAAACACUGAAUUGUUAGAUGAGCUUGAAAUAUUUGAGAUUAUGAUUUUUUGUUUAAUUUCUAGAAUUUCAUAAUAGGAAGAGAAGUCAAGUGAUUGUUGUGAGAAAAUCUAGAUUCACAAUUCUCAUAGAUUACCUAUUCGAGAAUCUUUUUUUAUGUUAACUAGCUGAAUACAAUCAAUGUAAUUGGGACCAUAAUCUUGACUACUAAAAUGUCCCUUGUUUAAUUUUUAGACGAGAUUGUGAAGGUCGAAGAUUUGGGUAGAAGGUUAACAACAAAUAGUUUUGCAUUCUGCUAGUAGCAUUAGUAUUAUUUUUGAUACAAUAUAGCAGAAUCAGUUCAAUACCACAUGAUACCCGAUAGAUGUACACAAAUAACCAAUAUUAUUUUUGGUACAAGCAACAACAUAACUGGUUUAGACAUAUGCACAAAUACGAUGCAACCCUAACAAAGAAUAUCAGACACAUAUGUUCACUUGUAAAAUAAAGAUGCACACUUGGCAUGAUUUCAUAAUUAAAAAAUAUUAAAACAUUAGUAUAUUAAUAUUGAUCGCCACAAAAUCAACUAACUUAGCUCAUUAGGAUUCAAAUAUUGAUAGGCAAAUUUGGAAGGAUGGAAUUUGGGACUUGGGACAAUUGUCGGGUAAAAAAUGAAUCGAGAAUAGAAAAUAAAAUGGGUUGUGGGUUAAGGUUAAAGAAUGGGGCGGGUCGGAGUGUUGUGGAUUAUGGUUUUUAAAAUGUUUUUAAUUAAUUAAAUGGAGAUUAAUGGGAAGAUGUCAAUCAUUAAUGAAUUUUUUUAUUAUUAUUAAAUGUUAGAGCUAUUAAAUAAAAGACAUUUUGGAGCCCAAAAGUGGAUAUUAAGGAUAUUUUGAAGCCCAAAAGUGGAUGUGAACGAUAUUAUAGAGCCAAAAGGUGAAUGAGUGAUAUUUUUAUAUCAUUUUUAAUAAAUGAAGAAUAUUUUAAGCCCUUUUAUAUUACAAAAAUUAAAAUUAAAAUUAAAAUCAAAAUUUAGCAAUAAUUGGGGCACCAAAACUUCAUCUAGCAUAUAAUUUGACGUAGAUCAUGUUCGUUUUCCAUAUUUUUUGGCUAUUUAUAAUUGUUUGCUUUUUCAAAUUACGAUCAUAUAGUUUACUUCAACCAAAGGUCAUUCGACAGGCGACAAUAGACACUCUAUUUUUAUAAUAUAAAAUUAAGAAUUGUGUAUACACUAAUCUCAUGAGAUUCCUCACUUAUUGGAUUCCACUUGGUGUUGUUGUGGUUGUAGUGAAGGCACCAAAGAGUACUAUUAAUCCUAUACUCCCACCGUCUACUUUACUUGUUCAUUAUAAUAAAAAUAAAUAAUUAUUUUUAUUUGUUCAAUUUAAAAAAUUAAAUAAAUAUUUAUUAUUUUAUAUCUAUUUUAUUAUUGUGAGUUAGAUUUCAUUGGAUAUAUUGUUAUUGUGUAUCUAUUUUACCCUUAUUAUUAAAUACUCUCUCUAGUUCAUACUAAGUUUCAGAAUUCAAUAUAAGUGAAUUUUAUAAAGUCCAAGAGAAUUAUUUCGAUUUUUUUCCAUACUUAUCUUUUUUUUUUACGAGGUUUUUAACUACUUCAUAUUUUCUAAGAAAAUAAUUUGAAAAUAAUUAAAAUAAUAAUAACGGAAAGUAGUCUUUGUUUUAUGUCCUUAAAUAUUUUUCUUAAGAGUGUGUCAUACCCUAAGGAGAUGUUUGCUCUGACGUAUCAAGUAAACUAUUUUGGGGAUAAAAUGUAAGAUUAUUUUAUCUUGUAUUUGAUCGGAGGUAUUAGUCAGUUUGAGAUUAUUUAUUCCAUUAUUUAUACCUUAAGAUGUGAUACCAAAAAAAAAGUUAGCUCAUAUACAUGAUUGAAUAACUAAUCCCAAGAUAAUUAAUUACUGUAUAACUUAUUCCCAACCAAACGAUUCCUAAUAAUUCACUUAAUAUGGACUAUAAGAUGCAUAACAUUUAUUUCUCAUUAUCAAGAUGAUCUAUUUAUUAUUCUUUAAGCGAUCGUUUGAUUGGAAACAAGUUAUUUUAGGAUUAAUUAUGCCAAAAAUAAUUAUUUCGUGAUAAGUUCUCCCACAAUACAUAUGAGAUAACUUACUUAUUCAAAUAACGAGAUAAAUAAUUUCAAAAUUAACUAAUACCUUCAAUUAAUAUAUAAUAAACUAAUAUUAUAUUUUAUUUUGAGAUUAUUAUACCUUAUCCAUCACACCAAAUAAUUUUUAAGAGGUAUAGUAAAUUAAAUAUACUUACUAUAAACAAGUAAAAAUGUGGAGAGAAAAUAAUAAUUAAGGUAAAUAGUGUAAAUUGUGACGAAUUAAUAUCAACUUGGGCAUCUUCGCCGGGGGUGAAGACUGAAAAGAAAAGUUUAGGGGCAAGAUGGUAAUUUGGCAAGUAAAGGAAACCAAAGAAAAGAUGAGUACCAAAAUACAGAAUAAGCCAAAUUCCCCCACUAUAUGCUAUAUGCUAUAUACCUCUUUGAAAGAAAAAGGAAAGAGCAAAUAGAGAAGACUCCCCUUGCCUCUUAACACUCCUUUCUCCCUUACUAUUUCCUCUUUGAUGGGUAUGUAUAUUUUUCUUCUCAUUUUUCUCUUCAAUAAUUAAUUGUUAAUAUUCAAUUUUCAAUUUUUUUUCGAUUUAUAAUUCCUCUUUUUGUGUAAAAAAGACUGAAUUUUUCGUUCUUGAUACUGUAUUUUGUUGUUUAGAAUUGUUUAAGACUAAUUAAAGCUUUUAUGGUUUUUGAUCAGUUGAUUGAAAUAUUGUUGCUUUGAAGUGAUCAGAGGAGAAGAAGAUGAUGGGUUUAGGGUCUUUGGGUAAUGGGGUUAUGGGUGGGGGUGGGGGGACAUCAUCGUCUUUCUCAAAUUUGUCACCUUUGGCUCCACCUUUUACUGUUGAUCGGUCCAAUUCCAAACCGGGUUCAACCCAAUUGUUGAAUUUCAGUGAUUCAGCAUAUACCGGUUCAGUACCAUUUGGACAGUCUUGGACACAGUAUGCUGCUGCUUCUGGCUCUUUAUCGCCAGAUUUUACGCCUUCUGAUUCUGUUAAACAUACCAGUAAUAAUCUUUGGUCAACUUCCAAUCCUACUGUUAAUACUUCUAGUGAGGCGUAUUCGUUUGGAGGUGAGGGGUAUUAUGCACCUUAUGUGCCUUCUGUAGUGAGUGAUGACCACCACUCGUCGGCCUUCAGUGAAGCUGCCAUCAAUGUUUUGCCUAAUUCGGAGAAUAUGGCUGUUAAUGUGUCAUCUCAAGUUGAUUAUACUCAGAGCUUGUCUGGUUUGGAGUACCCGGUAUCCCAUUGGAGUUUUUUUAGUAAAGUUGCUGAUGGAAAGCAAGAUGAGAGGAAGGGAGUUGAUGGAAGUUUUUCUUUGGGGAAGGUUAAUGCUGGUGCUUCAUUUGGUUACGGGAAUUGCAUUUCUCAAGGUGAUUUCCUUUUGUUAUUAGCUGUAGUUUCAUUGUUCUGAAUUGCAAUGUAUUCCUUAUACCAUUGAACAAUGAUGUGAUUGCAUGUGUUCUCGAGUUUUUCAGCUUUGGAAUUUCAGCAUUUUCAUUGUUCAUAUAUGUUUCAUACCAUGAUUCGUUUCGAAUAUAUUACCAUAUUGUACGGGUCUUUGGUUUAUCUGUAUGAAUUUGCAUUCAGAGUGUAUUCAACUGGUGUUUUAUUUGCAUUUAGGAUGUAAAAUCUGACCUGUAUGGGUUUAACCAUUCAAUGCCUUAUGCUUGUUGUUGUAUAAGGAUUUUUUGAAUUGCUUUUCACUAUCGUAGUACUGUUGGAGUCUUUUUUUUUUCUCUCAAAAAAAAGAAAUCUAAUUCAGUUUAUAAGUAUUAUACUAUUCCUGACCUGAAAUUUUCCUUGAUUAUCAAAUUCACUUCAAUUUCUUAUGUCAAUGAUGAAUUAUUCAUCUAUUGGAGUUGAAGUCUUACUUAUACGUGUCAUGCGAUUUUAUCUCCUGUGGUGUGAGGGUUGCUAUGUACUUGUAACUAGUUCAAAGUUGAAGCUUAAAAGAAGUACCUGUCAUUUUUUUAGUCGUCUAAACUUGUGGCAUUUUGUAGCUAAUUCACUUGAAGGUGUGAACAUGGUUGGAGAAGAUUCUGGUGCUAUGUCUGGAAAUUUUACUGACGGAGUAUAUACUGGGAAUUCAAGUAUCGGACAUAUGGAUGCUAAAUCAUAUCUCACUCAAGAACCAGUCUACCCAUCUCUUAGCACAAAAACAGCUGUGGGUUUAAAUCUCCCUGUGUCUUGCCAAGUGGCACUUUCUUUAGGGUCUUCUAAUAAUUACGUGAACUAUGAAAACCCUUUUACUCCACAUGAGAAAUUCUUCCAACCCCUUGAUUCUUGUCCCCGUGAUACUAUAUCCACAUCAAAAUCUUCUCCUGCAGUGGUUAUCAGACCUGCACCUUCUGGAAGUCGUUUCUUCGCACCGAAGACAGACUUGCACAAAAAUGUGGAUAUUUGCAAAACUGGAGCUAGUAAUAGUGAGAAAUCAGAUGUUUAUGACCUGUUAAAGGGUGAGGAAACACGGCUACCAAUAGAUUCUCCGGUCAAAGCGUUUUCGUUGGGCUCAAACACACCACUGGACUUUGGCAAGAUCGAGGAAAUCUUUUCUCAAUCAACAUCAAUUAAUAAUUUGUUCUCGACCCCUCCUCGUGGUAGCAAUGGCAUAGAGGUUGCAGUUAAAGAAAGAUCUGGAUCUCAAGCUCCUUACAGUAGUGCAACACCUGCGACUUUUACUGAGAAAUGUUCAGAAGCUUUAGAUCUUCAUAACCCAAAUGAAGAUUCACCCUGCUGGAAAGGCGCUCCUGCUUUUCGUAUUUCUCUCUGUGACUCUGUUGAAGAUCCAAGCCCAUUCCACUUCAAAGGCAAACUAGAAUGCUCUGAUUUUGGUCAAACCAAUCCUUUAUUUCCUCCAGCUGAACAUUCAGGGAAAACUUCCUUAAAGAAACUUGGUGAGGACAAUCCACAUAACCAUAAUGUACAUGCAGGAAUUGGUCUGUCUGUUCCUUCAGAAGGUACUGCAAGUAAUAACUGCAUCACAGGAGAACAUAGGACCAUUGAUGUCACCAAAGAAACAUUUGCACAUAUGGAUCUGUCCAGCAAUGGCGGGGUACUUAAAUUUUCUGAAGAUCUGAAUAGGCCUAGCAAAGGAUAUAAUCUGCCUCAGUACUCUGAAAAUGAUGGUCAACUACAAUCGUCCUGCAGCAAGCACGUUAGUGCUGAUGAACACAAAUAUGGACCCAUAAAGCAUAGUUUGCCGGAGGGUUUUAUGCAUUCUGGUUUGAACCUCAAUGACACAUUAGAGGGUGGAGUAGUUGCACUAGAUGCUGCAGAAAAUGUUUUACGUUCACCAGCUUCUCAAGAAGAUGCCAAGCAGGCACAACCAUAUCAAAUGGUAUCAAGUCCAAAGCUGGAUGUUCGUACACUUGUGCAUGCAGUUCAUAACCUUUCGGAGCUACUUAAAUCUCAAUGUUUGAAUAAUGCUUGUCUACUGGAAGAUCACGAUCAUGACACCCUUAGCCACGCAAUUGCCAAUCUUGGUGCAUGUACCACGAAGAAGAUUGAAACAAAAGAUACAAUGUUUUCCCAGAAUGACACUUUUGAAAAGUUUGUAGAAUCUCGCCGCUCUUAUAUGGUAUGUCUACGCGUGAGAACAAACUAGCUAGUUUUAUUUUUAGGUGUGGCGAAAGUGUUCAAGUUGUGGAAGCAGUUACAGUAUUACCAUGACCGGCGUGGUAUUAAAUCCCUCCUUGCAGACCUUAGUACUUGUGUGGACGUUGACCACCUCUCCUUUGCAUGGUGGGCAAUUGGAUCCCAAAGAUCUAAUGAUCCAGAUAUAAUGGAUAGAAGAGGAGCUUGCAUAUGCAUUUUUCUCAACAACUUUGGCAUGAUUUCACCUAUUUUGUUUGUUAAUCAACCUACUUUAUCAUGCUACUUUGCAUUAAAUGACAUGCUCCCCUUGCUUGCUUUACUCUCUAAGUCUAAUAGUGAAGAGUGAACCUAUAGAUGAGAUGUGUAUUUGUAGUGUUAUUGUUGCUGUUUGUACAAUUGUCAUCUCAUAUAUAUACUUUAGAAUGGAUGUCUUAUAUCAAUGAACUAGUGUUGUUAAAUAAGAGAACCACAAUCAUUAAGGUAUCCUUUUGUUUUGACUGGGUUAGUCCUGUUUUUGUCUGACCUUUGAAUACUUUAAUCAUGCAUUUCUAUUUUGUAUGCAAGAAUAUGAAACUAGGUUGUAGUAUGUCAUUUUUUCUUAUCGAAUUAAUUGGCUUUGUCUGUCAGCUUUAGACUUUUGAUUGUUGUGUACCUUCGGCCAUUGACUGAGUCAGUCCUGAUUAUCUUGUUGAAGUCUUGGUAUUUUCAUUAUAUGUUCUGUUUUGUGUGCGAUUGAAAGGAUCUAAAUUUUAAGUUCUCUGUGUGUCGACUUAAUAGGCCAUGUUUGUUAUCGUAACAUUUUAGAUAAUGGUUUUCUUCUCCAGGGCACCGGGAUAGGUCACCCCCAGUUUAUGGGAGAAGUUACUUGGGAUUCUUGUGAACUCAGUAAUCAGCCGAUGCAUGAAGAUAAGAGCAAGUUCAAUGGUAAGAAAGCUGAGAUAUCACCCCUUCUAACUCCUGCAAAUGACUUAGAGGAUUCAAAUGAAGAACAAGUCGCUCAGGUAUGCUCUCUGUGUAAGGUUGUGAAAUUGUCAUUUAAAUUUUAGUCUUGUAAAUUCAAGUGUUAAGAAUGAGACUUCGAAGGAGUUGCAACAUCCAGAGUUCUAUCGUAGUGGCAUACUAAUAUGGUAGGCUUGCAGGCUAUAAAGAAAAUCCUCAAUGAGAACUUUCUCUCUGGUGAAGCAAUGCAGCCCCAAGCCCUUCUUUUCAAGAAUUUAUGGCUUGAAGCUGAAGCAAGAUUAUGUUCCCUAAGCUUUAAAGCUCGUUUUGACCGAAUGAAGAUUGAAAUGGAGAAGCAUAAAUUCAGCCAAGGAAAAGGUAAAGGCUGUUUGUUUUGAUAUCUGUGCUGUUACUCUGUUACUGUUCUAUCUCCGUUCUGUUUCGGACAUUUCAGUAAAUGUGACUGUUGCCAAUAAGAUUUUGUGCUUCAAAUUUUCUCCAGACUUGAACCUGAAUUCCUCAGUGGCAGCUGAAGCUGAAAAUGACUUCGCAUCAAAGGCUACCACCCCGAGUACCUCUACGUCAAGCAAAAGUGUCCACAUUGACGAUUCUGUAAUGGAGAGAUUCAAUAUCUUAAAUAGAAGGGAAGAGAAAUUGAGUUCAUCGUUCAUGAAAGAGGAAAAUGAUUCUGUUAAGGUUGCCAGUGAUGCUGAGGAUUCUGUUAUGAUGAAGCUAAAUAUCUUAAAGCAACAGGAAAACAACUUCAAUACAUCCUUCAUGGAAGACAAAAAAGCUUCUGAUAUGAUUUCUAAUGGCACUGCGGAUUCUGUUAUGGAAAGAUUCAAUAUAUUAAGACGACGGGAAGACAGCUUGAAAUCAUCUUUCAUGACGGAGAAAAAGGAUCAGGAUGUGGUUGCCAAUGAUGCCGAGGAUUCUGUUAUUGCGAGACUCAACGUCUUAAGACAGCGGGGAGACAAGUUGAAUUCAUCUUUCAUGGAGGAGAAAAAGGAUCCAGAUAUGGUCGCCAAUGAUGCUGAAGAUUCUGUUAUGUCAAGAAUCAGUCUAUUAACACACCGGGGAGACAACCUGAAUUCACCGUUUAUGGAGGUGAAAAAAGAUCUGGACAUGGUUGCUGCUGGUUCUGCAGGUAUGGAGAAUCUUGGAUCGUUAAAUGGUGAAGUAUCAGAAGAUCGGAGCACAAAUGUGGUUAUAGAGCCUUACUUUUAUCAUCAGAAUGUUAGUGCCAACGAAGAUAAAUUUGAGUCUUAUGCGGACGGUUCUGGAUACGACUCCAUGAAACAGUUUCUUCUCUCUGUACCAGAUGAUCCAGUUGUCCAUUCAAAUUGGAAGGCCAGACUGGGAAAUCACCACUCUUCAGGUUUGUAUGAUAGUUCUUCUUCAGACUGGGAGCAUGUAGCCAAGGAUGAGUAUGUGUGACAGCCGAUGAGACGAGACGUUGCAUCGAAGAUAUUUGAUGCUCUCUUUGAAAGAGACUCUUUCCAGUCAAUACAUGAAUUAACACUGUAUAAAUUGUAGAGUUGACGUAACUGCGUAUUCCUAUUUUCUGUUUUCUGAUACUGCAAUAUACUUACUCCGUUGUGCUUAUCGUUUUAUUUCUAGCUUACUUGUGUACUAUAUUUUGGUAAAUCAUUACUUAAAAUUCUGCUCCCACUUGAAGAAAACAUAUUUCAGCUAUUGAAUAGAGUACUGGCCAGAUAUCAAGUUCAUUGAGAGGAGGCUUAAAACUGUCUCAAAUGGUUGUGUUGACUUCACUCCAAAAGUGGGGUGUACGUACUUUUAGCUAGACAAUUUGCAGAAUCAUGCAUGAAUUCUCUUGUUUGUUACAAGGGCACACCAAUUUUGUCUAAAAUAAAUUGAUUUCAAAUAUUUUGCAUUAGAGAGGACAAUUGUUUGUUGACUAGCUACAUUAUCCCUCUUCAUAGAAUAUGUUAAAAUGAUAUUUGCCCUUUAGGAACUUUUUUGAUUCUUCGUUUUAAAUUUUUUGCUCAAAAGAAUACUCUUUUGUUUCUCAAGUUGAAUGUCACUUUUAUAUAACAAAUUAUGUUUCACUAGCUUUAUAAGCCCAAAAAAGUUCUUUGUAAUCGUACAGCAAAGUAUGCAUUAGUUUUUCUUUUAUGUAGAGUGUUGUGGUAUUUCAAUCCUUAACUGAACCUAAGACUAUGAGCUUUAUUGUCUAAUCAUGUUAUGUUAACACUAUGUAUUUAAUAGUACUAUAAUAGGGAGGUUAGCAUACAAAGAAUAAAUAAUUUACAAAUGAUAAGUUGGAUAUAUUUUCUUCCGUAUAAGUGUGUGAUUGCUUGUAUCAGUUAGAAAUGAGAUUACAGCUUUUAUGACCCAAUUAUCUAUGCAUGGCCGGUGUAAAUAAUUUUUUGAUACUAUCAAUUGAAUAUUAACUUGUGAUGGUAAGUUAGAUAAACAUUUUUAUCAAAGUACCAAUUAAUGUCCACCAAAGGAUGUGAUGCAUCGGAUGAGGCUGCUCCUCCCUGAACCUGAGAUCUUGGGUUUGAGCGACGGGUAUGGAAAAAUCCUUGGUAGGGAGAGCUUCCCUGAAGAAGCCAUACGCGGAGAGAAUCCGAAUUAGUCGGGCUCCAAUGCGGAUAUCGGACACUGGAUGGAAAAUAGGAAAAAAAAAUAGAGAGAUUGUGUAAUCUUCUAUAUUGUCAAUACAUAGAAAUUAUAUUCUUUCUUUGUAGAACUCUUCAACUAUUUUUUUUUGAUAACUGAGGUAUCUAGGUCAAUUUGCACGCACCUCAAUUAAUUUCAUGAAAUACUUGUCACCUCUCACCAUCUACCCUUCGACUCAUUUCUUAUCAGCGCAGGUUUUUGUAGUUUACGUAGCUCAAUGAUUAUACAUUUGAUUAAAGAAACAUAAUUAAGACCUAAAAUAAAAUUAGAAAACCCACUUGCAAGCAUAAUCCACUGUAAUCAGCAGAAAUCUAGGGCUAAAUCAGUGUCUAACCACUACACUUUGUAUUCUCAUGCAAAAAAGUCGAACAAAAAUUGAUUGGAUGAGUCAAGCUUGUUUUGUUCCUACAUAUACCCCUAAGAAAAAUAAAGAUAGUAAAAUGUAUUUACGUGCAAUUAUAGUCAAACUGACCAACUCCAGUUGUCCUUAACCUUCCAAAAUAGUGAGUUAUUAACUUUCUUAGGUAUAUACAAUUUUACAGCUCACUGCCUUCACUAAACUAAUAUUAAGAUAAGUGAUAUCAAUGGGUUUUCCUUGUCCCUAUAUAAAUUGACAUCGUCGUUGAAGCUACUCAAGUUCAGUAAGAGAAAUUUUGUGUUGAGAGAUUAAGGAAUAGAGUAAAAUAAGUGUAAGAAUGUUGAUGAGUGCACUGAUAUUGUUGGUUCUACGUGCGUGCAUGAUGUUAGAAGCACAACUUCAAGUGGGAUUUUAUGAGAAUUCAUGUAGUAUGGCUGAGCUCAUAGUGAAACAAGAGGUCACAAAUGCCUUCUUUAAAGAUAGGGGAGUGGCUGCUGGCCUUGUUCGCAUGCAUUUCCAUGAUUGCUUCGUUAGAGUAAGUAACUUUUCCAUAUUAUUAAUUAGCUUUUGUGUGCAUCACAUAUGUAUCUUGUGAAGGGUAGCCUUGUAGUAAAGUUGUUGUCAUGUGACCAAGAGGUUACGGGUUCAAGCCUUGGAAACAACCUUUGGCAAAAAUGCAAGGUAAGACUACGUACAAUCACCCUUGUGGUGGGGCCCUUCCCCGAACCCUGCGCAUAGUGUGAGCUUUAGUGCACCGGGCUGCCAUUCUUUUUACACACGUAUCUCGUGUGGCGUACGUACAUCUUAUGUGCAUUUUGUGCGUCAUACGUACAUCCCGUUGUCAGUUAGUAAAAAUGUUUUAGAAUCACAGAGAUGGUAUCAUUAAAUAUGUGUGGGGGUGUACUACCAUUGUGAACUAUCUUCUAUCUAGCUUAAGAAUGGACCCCAAGUCAUUGCUUUAGUGGUUUUAUGGUCGAGCCGACCCUAAUUAUGACUCUACCGAUAUGAAUAGGGUUGUGAUGGAUCGGUGUUGAUCGACUCGACUCAAUCAAACGAAGCAGAGAAGGACUCACCAGCAAAUAAACCGAGCCUUCGAGGUUUCGAAGUCAUUGACAGUGCGAAGACCAGGUUGGAAUCUGUUUGUCAAGGAAUUGUUUCGUGUGCUGAUAUACUCGCUUUUGCAGCUAGGGAUAGCGUAGAGAUAGUACGUAUACUGCAGUUACUCAUGCAAAUUAAGAUUCUUUAAAAGUGUAUUUUUUAACAUAUUACGUACUUUUAACGCUUGAAAUUAAUAGACUAGAGGACUUGGCUAUGAUGUUCCAGCUGGUAGAAGAGAUGGCACAAUCUCAUUAAUUACUGACACAAGAAAUUUGCCCACUUUUACAUCUAACGUUGACCAGCUCAUCCAAAACUUCAAAAAUAUGGGACUCACCCAAGAAGAAAUGGUUACUCUCUCUGGUAAACAGAAGUGCAGCACUACGUUUAAAGUUUUAUGCAUUGAUAGUUUAUUGAAUCUUUGAUCUCCAAUGUCUAGGAGCACACACCAUUGGUCGAUCUCAUUGCGGGUCCUUCAGAGACAGAUUAUACAACUUCAGCUCAACGACAAGCCAGGAUCCCAGUCUGGAUCCAGCCUACGCAGCCCAGUUGAAGAAGCAAUGUCCACAAGGCAGCACGGAUGCAAGUUUGGUGGUUCCAAUGAACCCUGCAAGCCCAACUGUCACUGAUGUAGGUUACUACACUGAUAUUCUGGCUAACAGGGGCUUGUUUACAUCCGAUCAAACUCUUCUCACAAAUCCAUCAACAGCUAUCCAAGUAACACAAAAUGCUAGGAAUCCAUUCCUCUGGAAAAGUAAAUUUGCUAGUGCGAUGGUGAAGAUUGGCCAAAUAGGUCUCUUGACAGGCACAGCUGGCGAGAUCCGAGCUAACUGUAGAGUCAUUAAUAGCUAAACAAAUGUUAUAUAUCACUGUAUUCUAAUCGGGGACUGUUCCUUUCAAGCUGGAACUUUCACACCGCUCUAUCUUCUUAAUGGGAAAUAGAUUAUGUAUUGCUUCACUACCCUAUUAUGACAUUGUCGCAAUUCCAGAUAAUUUGAUCUUUAGCAAUGGCGCUAUUCAGGCAAAAUGGAAAUAUUCUAAGAUAACCACCCUCAUGCACAAUAUAAAAGUUCCAAUAUAAUAAAGAAAGCCCUUCAUUUCUUGAUAUUGGCCAUUGAGGUUCUACAACGCACUACUACUCAAUAAGGCGUUCGCCAAUUAAAAAGGGCAACAAAAAUAGAAUGAGAUCACGAGUUCUUUCAAAAUUCAUCAUAGAGCAUGGAUUGAAAGGUGAAUACUUGAAAAUACUUAAGUGGUCAGCUCCAUGAUGGCACUGACUAUGUCUCCAUUGUGGGUCUUCAGAGCCUUGACGGCCUUGCUCCUGGACACUCCUGCUUGUGUCAUGACCAAAUCAAUGUCCCUAGGUUCAACACCAGUCUCGUCGACCUCCUCUUCUUCCUCAUCUGCAUCUGCAGCAGCAGUAGAGGCAGAAACAUCUGGCUUGGCCAUCACGGAUCCCAUGUCUGGCAUCCUAAACUGCUGAGCUGCCUGUGUCUGCAACUGUGAGCUCAAGUCCUCGAUCUUAGCCUCUCCAAAUAUAACAUAAGUCUCAGAAUUCGGGCUUUUGAAGACAUCUGGCUUUGAGAUGAAGAAUAAAACCUGUAGUAUCGUGAUUGAAUUGGCUUGCAUAAAUUCAUAUUCUUUUUAUAAGUAUCAAAAUUGAGUAAAAAUGCUACGCAGAACAAGCAAGGUAAUUUACAUUUUUAGUCCUCUUAAUAGUAACCCUGCUAACCCCUGUAACAGGUUUCAUGCCAAGCUUCAACAUUGCUUUUCUGCUCUUCUUCUCACUUCUGCUUUGCUUAGAAUUACCACCUGCAUCAUUUUCCACUCAAAUUCGUUCAAAAAUUAUAUUAACAAGCAUCAUCCAGUGUGGCAUAGUUAUCUCAGACAUCAUACAACUAUGUAAAAAACAUUGCAUGCCACAGCUAAUAACAUGAAUAACUAAAAAACAUAACAUAAUUUCUUACAAUGUCUGAAAAUUGUCAGACAGAAAUGAAUAGUAUAACAUCAUCCAAUGUCAAAAAUCAGGCAAUCCCAAUAACAUCUAUUAUGAAUUUCAAAUAAUUAACUACAGUAGCAACCUUUUCUCCUUCUAACAAGCUUUUGAAAACAAUGUCAUUAAAUAAUUAUCUCAGUUACAUAUAAAAAAGGGCAACUCGAUGUACUAAAGCUCCUAGGGCCGGACUAGGAGGGUCUAUUCUACGCAAAAUUACCUUGCAUUUACAUCAAUGUAUGCUAAAACAGAGAUGAAAGAAUACCUUGGACGCCAUCUUCCUUGUCAUCGUCUUCAUCGUCGUCAGAAUCCUCGGCAUCAUCAUCGUGGUCGUCUUCUUCUUUGACAUCCUCAACAAUAGGCUCAUCUUCCUUAAGCUUCUUCUCGGCUUCGACUUCUUCGAUGACGGGGCCUGGCAUGGCUGCUAUGUUCUGCUUUGUUUUGUGUGAUGGGAAAGGGAAGGGUUAUCGGAGCUUUGAGGAUAAAAUUUGCAAGCAGGAAGGGAGGAAUCGAAUGGUGGGGUUUUAUCCUAGGGUUCCUCUUUUAAUGGGCUUGGGUAACUAGAGCCCAAUAUCAUAUCAUCAUCAGCCCAUUCAUACUCCUCUUUUAUCUUCAACAAAAUAACAAUAAACAUUAGACAUUUCAUUACUUUACGAGCUGAUUACUCUUUUUUACACAAUUCUCUCAUAUUACAUAAAAUUUUAUAAAAGAUGAACGAUGAAUCAUCAGAAAAUCUUUGAUACAUAACUUGUGUGAUACAUGAACAACUAAUCUGAAAAUUUAAAUUAAUCAAAUUACUUAAUAUAAGACGGAAAUUAAGAAAUGUAGCCAUGUGUGAUUAAUUUUAUUUUAUUACUUUUUAAAAAUAGUAAACUCAUUAACUUCAUUAAUAUAAGACGAAAAUAUGUAUAUUUUAGUUAUAUAAUUAGAUUAAUUUUAUUUUAUUACUUUUUAAAUAAUAAAUAUAUCAAUUUGAAUAUAGAUAGACACAAAUGCAUUAAUACAUAUCAUGAAUACAUACUAAUCUCUUAGAUGCAUAUAAAUUUUUAAACUGUGAUAUAUGUGCACAAAUAUAUUCGUAUGUAUCAUGGACAAAUACUAAAUUUCAUAUUCCAUAUGAGUUAGUAGCCUAUGAUACAUUGUCACACAGAUGCUUUACAUUUGUAUACCAUGAACAAACAUUAAAUUUCAUAUUUCAUAUGAGCAAGUAGAUUAUGAUACAUGAAAACUUAUGAUUCAUGUAUCUGUGUAUAGAUACAUACCCAGAAGAAGAAAAAGGAACACAUAUACUUCUUCAUCAAAUAAAACAAUAAGAAAAAUAAUAGCCUCACGUUUUUUCAUGUCAAACAUCAUCGAAUCUCCACUAGCAAAAUCACUCUUACUUGCAAUGUUUUUGGUAAAUAUAUCCAUAAAAGUUUCUGAUACUUUCGAUACAUUAUAGUUUUGAUACAUUUAGCUAUUUCAUGUAUAUACUUCUUAUAUGUUUCUAGUAAAUGUAUAAGCUUCAGAUACAUUAUGUUUCAAAUACAUUUGAUAUAUUAUGAAAUCGGACUAUUUUUGACUUGAAUAAAAAAAAAAAAAAGAGAACGAUGGAUUUGAUGGUGGUUGGACGAUGGAAAUCAUAGAACUGGAGGCUUGCAUUCCGUCCGAUUGCUUGUCUCGUCGGAAUUCUUCGUCAUUCGGCCAAAAAAAUGAAACUUUGGAUUGCAUAAUCUGAUUGCUUAUAUCGUCAAAAUUCUCUGAUAUUCGAUGAAAAAGAUGAAAUUUUGGGAAAUUUUUGUUUUGAUAGUGAUUUUGAAAGUAACAGCUAAACAAAAAAUCCAGAUUUAAAUCUCAGUGUUUAUAAUUUCCUCAUUUCAAAGUCAAUUCUUUAUUCUACAGUUAGUGUGAGUGUUUCUUGGACCACAUUUUUCAGGUCUAGUUUAGCAACAAUAAUUAAGUUAACACACUGCUUCUACUGGAGAAGUUUCAGCAGCUGAAAGUCGUCAUUGUGCAUUUUCAAAUAUGUGAGAAGUUGACUGCUGAAAAGCAUCUCAACAGGCUUCCUAACUUGAACUGCAAGUUCAAUAUCUUGUUUAUCUAGAACAAACUUAGAUUUCAAGUUAAAUUUCUAAUCCUGAGACUUUUCUAGCUUCUGGUUAAAUAGAGUUUUGGCUGCCUCGAGUUACGAUAUGGCCCAAUCCUUAUUAUGUAUUUAUGAUGGUUAAAGACUUCAUUUUGACCUCGGACCGACCCAAUUUGUUAAACAAUUCUGUUUUCAACAUAAUUUAAUUCAUGAAAAAUAAACUUCAACCACAAAUAAAAAAUAUGAAGAAACAACAGUUUUAUUGAUAAACGAUGGGGUACAAAUCUGUUCCUCCCUUGAUUCUUCUCUCAUGAUUUUCUCCGUAAUUUGAGUGUCAUAUUUCUCGAAUGUAUGAAGAUUUGGAUAUGAAUUUCUCCGUAAUUCGAGGGCCGUUAGUCACGUAUUCUCAUUAUUUUCUCCAUAAUUCAAGAGCCAUAUUUCUCGAAUGUAUGAAGAUUUGGAUAUGAAUUUCUCCGUAAUUUGAGGGCCGUUAGUAGCGUAUUUCUCGAACGUAUGAACAUUUGGAUUUGAUCUCCAUGAAAGGAGGGUUUGUCUUCUUGAUGUAUUUGAUUAUCAAGAAAAGAGGGUUUUGAUCUUUAUGAAUAUCCCAUGAAUUUAUUGGGACUUUUCAGAUCGUUGAUAUUGUAGACACCUAAUUUCGUCCCUCCCCGAUGUCCUUUUUACCCAUUUUUUUUUAUUUUUAUCCUACCGUGUAUCCUCACCCAUGUUAUUAUACCCUCACAAAAUACAAAUAAAAAAAUAACAAAAUCCCUAACAAAACCUAUCCUAACUAAUUCUAUCUUAUCCUAACAACCUACCCAAUCAAAAUAAACCACCUCACUACCCCAUACCCUACCCGUACCCCACCCCACAUUUUUUUUUCUCAAAUCAACAACUCCUUAACAGAAUACACCAAGACACACGACAAAAAGAAAAUAAAACCAAAAGAGAAGGGGGGCCACUAACCCACACAAUAUUAUAUAUACAAAACAUAUAGAAACAAAAAAGGGGAGGGGGGGGGGGGGUAGGCAUUAAUAGUAACAAAAAAAGACGAUAGAAAAAAAGAAAAAAAACAGAGAGCACCUCUCAAAAAAUUUUUUUUUUUUUCUUUCUUCUUCACGCUAUAUACACCAUACGCACACAGUGAGAUGGGAGAAUAGAGUAGAUUGAGAGUGGGUAGCAAAGAGAUUGAGAAAGAGAGGAGAAUAGAGAGAGAUCGAAAAGAGAGUGAAGAGUUAAGCAACAAAGGGAAGCGAGAGAGUGAGAAAGAUUCUAGAGAGACGAUCUGAUAACGAAGGAGAGAAUCGGAAAGGGGUACUAUUCCGGCGAAUUUUGCUUGAGUAUGACCUGAAUCUGAUCUGCUUUCAUGGUUCUCGCCGUUGUCUGAGAUCGCCGGAUCUCCGGCGAUGUGAAACAGCAACCCCAACCCAAGUCGAUCCGAAUUUAAGCCAAUAAUCAGUUUUUUUUUAGGUUUUUCCGUUAAAACUCGCUGGAUCCUACUGUUGUUUGACGGAUUCAGACGCUGCCGGCUCGAAUUUCAGUCUUAUCCGUCUAAAAAUAAUAACCAGUAACCAAUUUCUAGUAGAAUCGGCUUGUUCGAAUUAUUUUUCCUACAAAAUCACAUUCGGGUUCGGUUCUUGUUGCGAUUUUUGUUUCGGACGCUGCAGUUGCUCUAUAUUCUGGGAACUGGAUUUUCUAUUCGUCUCAAUCGGUUUGGUCAGUUUUGGAUUUCAGUUCUGCGUUACCGAGUUGGAGUUGUUAUUGUUGAGGUUUUCUAUACAGGCUUUCGGAUUCGGGUUUUCUUAAAUAUUAUUAUCAACGAGAAUCGAUAUUCGGAAGGUUCAAUUCUAUCCUUGCUCUUCUCAAUUAUACGUAAUCAUGAAUAAUUUGCGUGUUUGGUAUGUUCGAAUAUGUGUUAUGUGUUGGUUGAUGUUGGUUUCAGAUUUUGAAAAGUGAAUUGAUAAAUCGAAGCAUGUGUUAAUCAUUGGUUGGGAAUGAAGUUGGGACGGGAAUCGAAAAAAUUGAUAAAAGUGAAUAUUAUGCUAUUUUGAUACAUUGUUGAUGUUGAAUGUGAUAUGCCGUCGAGCAGGUAGGCAAACAGUAAGCUCGGUAGGCAAGGUUAGAAUUGGUGCAGUGUUGGAAUGUUUGGAAUAUUUGUUGAAUGUUUUGUUUAUCGUAUUUGAAAAGUGUAUUAUUUAACCGGGGAAUGCCCCGAGGUAAUUUGUAUUUACUCACCGGGGAAUGCCCCGAAGAAUUUUGUACGCAAAGGAUGCUCGUGAUCAAGGCCUGAGGCAUCGGGUAAAGCAUAGUUUAGGACUAGUAUAGGUUAUUUCAGUAUUUUUAUUUCGGGUUGUAAUAAUUGGACUAGACUUUACAUUUUUGUUUGUUUUUAUUAUUGUUUGAUUAUUUUGCGUGUUUUUGUGUGGUUUGUACAUUUCGUAAUGCCAAAAUAGUUGUACACUCUACCCAAGCGACUGUGGUUGAACCAUGGGAUCGAGGGGUGCCUAACACCUUCCCCUCGGUCAAUAGAAUUUAUUAACCGGAAUCUCUGUUCGCAAACCAGUUUAAGAUUCAAAUGGUUUCGAAAAGGAUUUUCCAAAGGUGACUUGGCACACCGGAUUAUGCCAAGUGGCGACUUUGAAUAAAAAAUGCAAAUAAUCCUUUUCUAAAACAAAUUUUCAUUUCUUGUCACUUAAAUAAUAAAGCCCUUUCGAACUUUGAAAUAUAAAUUUUUUAGAGUACGUCAAAAAAGGGGUGUGACAGCUUCUGGCGACUCUGCUGGGGACUCAUGACAAGUUUUAAGAAUUUGAGCUAUUUUUGGAGUCGUAUCGGCUUUGUUUGGCAUUAUGAGUGUAUAAGCUUGUUUGUGAUUUUGUUUGGGUUAUUAUUUGCACCUUUGUGUGUUUUUCGUGCUCUUUGUUUAUAGUAUUAUCUUAUGUGUUACCGCUUUAUAUUUGGCAUCAUGAGUCCACCCCCCGGCCUUCUUUCCGCAAUAAGUCCGUAGUACACGUGUUGUACACAACCUCUAGUUGAGUCACCCUUAUUUUAGGGGAGGAGCCGUCGGUGUUAUGGAGUAGGUGGAAAGCAAAGCAGCCACUAUCGACUAUACGCUAUCCCGAACAGCCUUGUUAGCAAAACACAACGUAGGUCAGCCUUUAGAUCAUGCUUAUGUGCAUCAUACGGAGACCUAGCGGGACCCACAUAGCACUUUGGAGGAGACUCCCCUCUAAAGCAUCCCUAUGUGCUAACUGUUGCAUUUUUAAGGGUAACGUGGUCAUUUGACGGACUGAUUUUUUUUUUAAAAAAUAAAUUAUUAGGAGUAAGGUGCGUAGACAAAAACGAAAAAAAAAUAAUAUAGAAAAAGUGAGUCGAAAAGAAUGAAAAAAAAAGAGAGAAAAAGAGGAAUUUCGUAGUUUAUUUUAGAAUUCUUUAUGGCUUUUGUUCUUCACAAUCCAAAAACUCAAAAAGAUUUUUUUUAAGUUUUGCAUUUGUCUUCUCAAAAUAUCGUAAAAGCGAAAAAAAAAGUUUUGUUUGCCUUUUCUACUUAUUUGUCAAAAAAAAACAAAAAAAAAAUACCAAAAAAAAUUUUUCCUUCAUAAUUGGUGGUGUCAGUCUUAGCUGAAAAUCCAAAAGUUUUUUUUUUCGUUUGUUUUUGGUAGUGUCUCCUAAGUUAGGGUCAAUUUAUUAGUUAAUCGUUAAUUGUUCAAUCUGAAUGAACUACGCAUACCUGAUUCCCUUCCCUCGGGUUGGGAUACCUAGGCAACCCUCGGUGGGUCCGAUAAAUCUUUGUGUUGGCCUUUGUCUUAGUAUUAGCCUAGGUCUCCCGCCCUGUAAUCUAGAGUUGUUUGCUAAGUAGACUGAUUUCGCUCAGUACUUCUGUUUGACAAAUUGGAGUCAUGAAUAUGGGCUGUCCCAUCGACAUAUGUUGGCGUCAAAAAAUCCCAAGGGUUGGGAAUCUUCUACUCCUGUCGAAUUUUUGAGAUAACGUCUUGUGUGUUAUUACAGGAUAAAUUUGUCCACCAAGUCUAGAGUUCUGAUGGUUGUCAAGGUGCCUAAAAAGUUAAUCAAAUGGUGGGAAAUGUUUAACUAUGUUGAUCAGCAGAAACUGAUUAAAANNNNNNNNNNNNNNNNNNNNNNNNNNNNNNNNNNNNNNNNNNNNNNNNNNNNNNNNNNNNNNNNNNNNNNNNNNNNNNNNNNNNNNNNNNNNNNNNNNNNNNNNNNNNNNNNNNNNNNNNNNNNNNNNNNNNNNNNNNNNNNNNNNNNNNNNNNNNNNNNNNNNNNNNNNNNNNNNNNNNNNNNNNNNNNNNNNNNNNNNNNNNNNNNNNNNNNNNNNNNNNNNNNNNNNNNNNNNNNNNNNCCUCGGAAGGUUUUGAUUGCUUUUGGGAUGAAUUUCAUGUGACUAAGGAGAAGUGGGAAAGAAAGCGUCUUGAAGUCUUCACCCUCGCUUUGUUAGGUACUUUAGUGUUUCCACUAGAAGAAAGACGUAUUAAUACCCAUUUGCAAUCUGUGGUGAUGACCCUAUUUCAUAAGGAUCAAAACGACAAGGGCAUUAAUCAAAAGGAAAGGUUCACUUUCAUACCCAUGAUCUUAACAGAAAUAUAUAAGGCUUUAACCGAAGUGAAGGGGGAAGGAGAUUUUUUGAGGGCAAUAACCUGAUAUUACAGUUAUGGAUGAUGGAGCAUUUGUAUGCGCCUUCUUUAGUUAGACCAGACGUGUUAGAUCGUUGUAUUCCCAAUCGAGUGAAAGCCAUGGACUCCAGGAUGCGGUUGGAUAAAUUCUCGUUACCCGUGGGAGUCAAACGCUUGGAUUGAAUUUCUUGAGUCGAGAACUAGGGAUAACAUUUUGUAGACUUAUCUGUGGCUUCGACCAAAGGUAGUAUUGUUGGGUUUUCAGACAUAGUUCCCUUUAGUUAUGUUAGGGCUCAAUUGCACUAGACCAUACAGUCCUUCUAGGGUAAUGCGCCAAUUGGGUAGGCUGUAGGGCGUGCCUCCAGCAGUGGAUCUUCUGAAGGAUGUUGAGUACUUUAAGGACCAAGCCUUAGGUGAGAGUAAGUACGAGCAGUUUUGGAAGCAUGCCACAAAGCUAGGUGUGGACACACUCAAAGAAAGUUUGGAUAAUCCGGGGUACACUCAGGGAUAUGGGGUCUGGCUUCAAUCUAUCCCUCGGGGUAUCAGUCAACCCUUACCAGCUCAGCUCAGAGGGAGAAUACAGGAAGGAUGCAUAAUAGACGACCAUCAGGAUGAAAGUGUAGGGUCCAAAGUGGAAACACUGAGAGUUCAGUUAGCAGAUUUGUUCAAGACAAUAGAAAGGUGUCAGAAAAAUCUUUCCAAGUGCACUCCUCAUGAAGCAGGAAUACGGGCCCGAAGCUUCUUCCUCGGUAUCAGGGAGUCUUUACAGGGUAUGCUACAAAGUUUAAAUGGGAGAAAGAGAACUUCAGAGGCAAGUCCAUAUCAGCCAGGGUCACCACGCAGAGCACCAGUCUGAAAGAGCACUUCUUAUCUUUAUUUAGUUUGAGUCUUUUAUGUGUCUGUCAUUGUAGGGUGGUGUCUGCUUUAAGUCAAAAUCAAGUUGUUUUUGGUAUUAGAGUCUUUAUUUGUAAUUUCACCUAUGUCGUCUUAGGGGUCUAUAAUUUUGUUUCGUAUUUGUUGUUUAGUUUUAAAGUUGUCCCAAACUUUUGUACGUUUUUGUUAUUUUCUUUCUUCAAAAUGUUAUGAUGUUACAUCUUUCCUUGGUUUGUUUAUUUUUGUUUUAGGAAAAAAAAAAGAAAAGAAAAGAAAAGAGAAAAAGAAAAAAAAGGGUAAUGUUUAUGCAAGACUGCCCGAAUACGCAAGAUCUGAUUCAUGUACAACAUGAUACGUAGGCAACCUACUUUUGGGUUCGAUCUAAUCAUUUUGUUUUGUUGUUUUUCAUUAUUUUUCCUCUUUUAAAGAAAAACAAAAGCCAUAAAGAAUGAUAAAAUAAAGGUAGAUAACGAGAGAAAAGAAAAGAGCAGAGAUGGAUACGAAAAAAUAUAAUAAGUGUAGACAAAAAUCAGGAUGAUGUUAAAAUGACCUCGCUACCCUCAAAAGCUGGUAGAAAUGAACAUGAAUUUAGGACAAUUUUNNNNNNNNNNNNNNNNNNNNNNNNNNNNNNNNNNNNNNNNNNNNNNNNNNNNNNNNNNNNNNNNNNNNNNNNNNNNNNNNNNNNNNNNNNNNNNNNNNNNNNNNNNNNNNNNNNNNNNNNNNNNNNNNNNNNNNNNNNNNNNNNNNNNNNNNNNNNNNNNNNNNNNNNNNNNNNNNNNNNNNNNNNNNNNNNNNNNNNNNNNNNNNNNNNNNNNNNNNNNNNNNNNNNNNNNNNNNNNNNNNNNNNNNNNNNNNNNNNNNNNNNNNNNNNNNNNNNNNNNNNNNNNNNNNNNNNNNNNNNNNNNNNNNNNNNNNNNNNNNNNNNNNNNNNNNNNNNNNNNNNNNNNNNNNNNNNNNNNNNNNNNNNNNNNNNNNNNNNNNNNNNNNNNNNNNNNNNNNNNNNNNNNNNNNNNNNNNNNNNNNNNNNNNNNNNNNNNNNNNNNNNNNNNNNNNNNNNNNNNNNNNNNNNNNNNNNNNNNNNNNNNNNNNNNNNNNNNNNNNNNNNNNNNNNNNNNNNNNNNNNNNNNNNNNNNNNNNNNNNNNNNNNNNNNNNNNNNNNNNNNNNNNNNNNNNNNNNNNNNNNNNNNNNNNNNNNNNNNNNNNNNNNNNNNNNNNNNNNNNNNNNNNNNNNNNNNNNNNNNNNNNNNNNNNNNNNNNNNNNNNGCUCCCUGAAGGUCUUGGGAAUAUCUCUAAUUGCCCAACGCUCUCUCAGGCGCAAUUCUCUGCUCCUACUGAGUCACCUGAGCACGCGCCAAGAUUCACUCCGCGACAUUAUUAUCCUGGUAGUUCUGGUAUGCCCUUGGCAGCUCCCCAAUCAAGACCAGCUGCUCAGCCAGCGCCACCAAUCACACCGGUAUUCGUGGCUCCGCCACCACAUAAAACUCCCAUAUAUGUUGCGCGUCCCACGAUGAGGCUUCCCAGGUCUGCCAGUGAGCCAGUACUGAAGGUUUCAGAUGGUUAGUAUUAUGCCCGGAGCCUACUUUACAAAUGAAUGAACCGUAUGGGUACACUCACCCACCUGCAUUUCUAUUUGAUACGGAGAAACCUAUCGCAGCAGAGGAACAAGAUAUCAUAGCCCGGAAACUGAAGAGUUUAGAGCAGGCUAUGAGGAAUUUGCAAGGGAUCAGAGAUUAUAGGAGUGUUUCCUAUAAAGAUCUUUGCAUGUUCCCAGACAUCAAUCUUCCCCCCGAUUUUAAGAUGCCUAAGUUCGACAAGUAUGCAGGACACGGUGAUCCCGUUGCACAAUUGAGACGUUAUUGCAACCAGUUGAGGGCUGCAGGAGGGAAGGAAAAACUGAUCAUGGCCUUCUUUGGCGAGAGUCUUUCAGAUCUGGCCUCAGAAUGAUUUAUCGAUCGAGAUAUCGAUAAAUGGAACAGCUGGGAUGAUUUGGCUUCUGAAUUUGUUCAACAUUUUCAGUACAACAUCGACCUGAUUCUAGACGAAAAAUCCUUGGUCAACAUGAAGAAAAAGAGCACUAAAGGUUUUAGGGAAUACGCGAUAAGGUGGCGUGAACAGGCCGCCAGGGUAAAGCCUCCAAUGAAAGAAAGUAAGUUGGUAGAAGUUUUCAUUCAGGUGCAGGAUGAGACCUAUUUUCAACAUUUACUACCGAGAAUGGGAAAGUCUUUUAUGGAAGUCCUUAAAAUGGGGGAGAUGAUAGAGAACGGAAUUAAGACCGGCCGAAUAGUGAGUUUUGCCGCAUUAAAAGCCACCACACAAGCGAUUCAAGGUAGAUCUGGCGCAUUUGGAGGUAAAAAGAAGAAAGAGGAUGUGGCGACUAUCGUAGCUGGAAUCCAUUCCUAUCCCAAAAGACCACCUCGCCCCUAUCCCCAAUCCCAAGCCCAAGUCUACGCCCAAGCUUCAUAUAUUCCUCCCCACCAUUACUACCCUCCACAAAACCCUUUAUAUUCUAUUUCGCCACCCCCAUACCCAGUAUAUAGCGCACAGUCAUAUGCCCAAACCUCUUCUUACCUGCAUUGGCGCGCGCAAGCUCCACAAAAUCGCCCAUUCGCUCUACCAAAUUACCAAAACCCCUCCAGACCCAGUUUUCAGCCUAGGCCCGAGUAUAAAAAAGAAAAGGCGGUCAAAAAUCAAUUCACACCUCUUGGGGAGUCGUAUGCUAGAUUGUUUGAUAGGUUGAGAAAGUUGAAGGUUUUAAGCCAAUUCAAGAAAGGCUUUCAAAUCCACCGCCGAGGAAUCUCGAUUAUUCUUUAAGGUGUGCGUACUGUUCUGAUAUGCCAGGCCAUGAUAUCGAGAAAUGCUGGCAUUUAAAGAGAGCUGUCCAAGAUUUAAUUGACAUAAAUCAGAUGUUGGUCCAGGCCCCAGAAGGUCCAAACAUUAACUAGAAUCCGUUGCCAACCCAUUCUGAAGCCAAUAUAUUAGAAUUGAUAUAUGACGGGAAAGAUUCUUCGAGGGGUUAUAAGCCUAUUGUCAAGAUACAGACCAUUGAGGAGAAAUCGGUAAAUGUAGCGGAGUCUUUGAAAGCAAUGUCAUUAAACCGGGAAGGAAUGAAAGAAGAUAAAGCCCUAGAAAGCACAAAGAAGCCCCUGAUCAUAGUACAAGGCGCCAGAAGGUAUGUUGAUUUAAGUCAGGAUAAACCUAAGUUGACAGUGGUGGGAGCUCUGAGUCAGCCCAUCUUGACGGUGAAAGGAGCACUNNNNNNNNNNNNNNNNNNNNNNNNNNNNNNNNNNNNNNNNNNNNNNNNNNNNNNNNNNNNNNNNNNNNNNNNNNNNNNNNNNNNNNNNNNNNNNNNNNNNNNNNNNNNNNNNNNNNNNNNNNNNNNNNNNNNNNNNNNNNNNNNNNNNNNNNNNNNNNNNNNNNNNNNNNNNNNNNNNNNNNNNNNNNNNNNNNNNNNNNNNNNNNNNNNNNNNNNNNNNNNNNNNNNNNNNNNNNNNNNNNNNNNNNNNNNNNNNNNNNNNNNNNNNNNNNNNNNNNNNNNNNNNNNNNNNNNNNNNNNNNNNNNNNNNNNNNNNNNNNNNNNNNNNNNNNNNNNNNNNNNNNNNNNNNNNNNNNNNNNNNNNNNNNNNNNNNNNNNNNNNNNNNNNNNNNNNNNNNNNNNNNNNNNNNNNNNNNNNNNNNNNNNNNNNNNNNNNNNNNNNNNNNNNNNNNNNNNNNNNNNNNNNNNNNNNNNNNNNNNNNNNNNNNNNNNNNNNNNNNNNNNNNNNNNNNNNNNNNNNNNNNNNNNNNNNNNNNNNNNNNNNNNNNNNNNNNNNNNNNNNNNNNNNNNNNNNNNNNNNNNNNNNNNNNNNNNNNNNNNNNNNNNNNNNNAGGGCCUGUUGAGUUCGCCAUAGAGUUUCAAGUAUUGAAUGUAAACUCCUCUUACAAUCUGUUGUUGGGAAGGUCGUGGAUUCACAAGGCCAAGGCGGUUGCAUUUACACUGCACCAAAUGAUUAAGUUUGAGCAUGACAGGCAAGAAGUGGUUAUUCACAGUGAAGGAGAUUUGCCCGCCUGGAAAGAUUCUCCCUUGUCUCUUAUUGAAGCAAAUAACGUAGAAGAGACAUUCGUUUAUCAAAUUUUUGAUACAGUGCUAGUGAGUCGUAUCCUUGAAUGGCAGGUUAUACCGGGACCGCAAUUGUCUUUUGCUUCUAUCAUGAUGGUGAGUGAACUUUGGAAAUACGGAUUUGAGCUGGGAAAGGGUUUGGGAGCGUCUCUACAUGGUAUAGUUCAUCCCAUAUGUCUGAGUGAUAACGUGGGCACGUUUGGUCUAGGAUUUGAGCCUACGGCUGAAGAUCUGAAGAAAGCUAAGGGAAGGAAAAAGGAAACAUCGUCACUCCCUCGCCCAAUGCCGCUACUCAGUGAAUCAUUUGUUAAGAGCGGUGUCACGAAGCAUGUGGAAUUUGAAGUUGAAUGGGUUGAUGACUGUUAGAACCUUUUUAUUGAAGUUGAUAUGGUCGAAGCAGGAGAAGGCACCAGUAUAGCAGACGUGCAAUUCAUAGGUCCAACUGUCCAGCUAAAUAAUUGGGAAGUCACUCCUCUCCCCAUUAGGAGGGAGUUUUAGUAGUUUAUUUUGUUUUUUUUUUGUCUAUCCGAGUUAUUUCAGGGUUGUAAUUCGGAUUUUAGUUUGUUUAUGUUAUGUUGGCAUCUGUGUUUAAACCCUUCUAUCUUUUAUUUAAUGAAAUACAAUGUCCCUUUUGUUUUGUGUCUAAUAUAUUUUGUUUUUCUUUUCUUACACAGUUCUCUUUAUGCUGAUUCUAAUGACAUGACAUGCAUGUGGAAUUUUCAGCCUAAUCUUAAAAUCCAAACUAAUCAAGAUGUAAUGAAGAAGGAUGGGGAAUAUGAGGAAGAAAAAGCACUAGAAGAAAUAAGCAAAGAGUUGGAACAGUUUGAAGACAAACCGAAUCCUAAUUUGAAUGAGACUGAGCCAAUAAAUCUAGGGGAUCAAGAAGAUGUUAGGGAAACUAAAAUCAAUGUACAUGUUUUGCCAUAGAUAAAGAUGGAAUGAUUCAAGCAUUAAUUGAUUANNNNNNNNNNNNNNNNNNNNNNNNNNNNNNNNNNNNNNNNNNNNNNNNNNNNNNNNNNNNNNNNNNNNNNNNNNNNNNNNNNNNNNNNNNNNNNNNNNNNNNNNNNNNNNNNNNNNNNNNNNNNNNNNNNNNNNNNNNNNNNNNNNNNNNNNNNNNNNNNNNNNNNNNNNNNNNNNNNNNNNNNNNNNNNNNNNNNNNNNNNNNNNNNNNNNNNNNNNNNNNNNNNNNNNNNNNNNNNNNNNNNNNNNNNNNNNNNNNNNNNNNNNNNNNNNNNNNNNNNNNNNNNNNNNNNNNNNNNNNNNNNNNNNNNNNNNNNNNNNNNNNNNNNNNNNNNNNNNNNNNNNNNNNNNNNNNNNNNNNNNNNNNNNNNNNNNNNNNNNNNNNNNNNNNNNNNNNNNNNNNNNNNNNNNNNNNNNNNNNNNNNNNNNNNNNNNNNNNNNNNNNNNNNNNNNNNNNNNNNNNNNNNNNNNNNNNNNNNNNNNNNNNNNNNNNNNNNNNNNNNNNNNNNNNNNNNNNNNNNNNNNNNNNNNNNNNNNNNNNNNNNNNNNNNNNNNNNNNNNNNNNNNNNNNNNNNNNNNNNNNNNNNNNNNNNNNNNNNNNNNNNNNNNNNNNNNNNNNNNNNNNNNNNNNNNNNNNNNNNNNNNNNNNNNNNNNNNNNNNNNNNNNNNNNNNNNNNNNNNNNNNNNNNNNNNNNNNNNNNNNNNNNNNNNNNNNNNNNNNNNNNNNNNNNNNNNNNNNNNNNNNNNNNNNNNNNNNNNNNNNNNNNNNNNNNNNNNNNNNNNNNNNNNNNNNNNNNNNNNNNNNNNNNNNNNNNNNNNNNNNNNNNNNNNNNNNNNNNNNNNNNNNNNNNNNNNNNNNNNNNNNNNNNNNNNNNNNNNNNNNNNNNNNNNNNNNNNNNNNNNNNNNNNNNNNNNNNNNNNNNNNNNNNNNNNNNNNNNNNNNNNNNNNNNNNNNNNNNNNNNNNNNNNNNNNNNNNNNNNNNNNNNNNNNNNNNNNNNNNNNNNNNNNNNNNNNNNNNNNNNNNNNNNNNNNNNNNNNNNNNNNNNNNNNNNNNNNNNNNNNNNNNNNNNNNNNNNNNNNNNNNNNNNNNNNNNNNNNNNNNNNNNNNNNNNNNNNNNNNNNNNNNNNNNNNNNNNNNNNNNNNNNNNNNNNNNNNNNNNNNNNNNNNNNNNNNNNNNNNNNNNNNNNNNNNNNNNNNNNNNNNNNNNNNNNNNNNNNNNNNNNNNNNNNNNNNNNNNNNNNNNNNNNNNNNNNNNNNNNNNNNNNNNNNNNNNNNNNNNUUAGGUUCAGUUCCCAUCUCUGAAUUGGGACAACAUUUCCCGGUAACAACACAACUUCGAUUCUACUGUACUAAUAAUAUGGCAGAGUAUGAAGCCUGCAUUCUUAGUUUGAGGUUAGCUGUUGAUAUGGGAGUCUAGGAAUUAUUAGUGUUGGGAGAUUCGGAUUUGCUCGUCCAUUAAAUUCGAGGCGAUUGGGAGACGCGAGAUUUGAAGUUCAUCCCGUAUCGAUAAUGCUUGCAGGAGCUAUGUCAACGGUUUGUGUUAGUAAAAUUUAGGCAUAUUCUAAGGAUUCAUAAUGAAAUUGCUGAUGCUUUAGCCGCUCUGUCUUCAAUGCUCCAACAUCCUGAAAAAUCUUACAUCAAUCCAGUGCAUAUACAAAGUCGUAAUCAACAUGCCUACUGUAAUGCGGUUGAAGAAGAGAUCGAUGGAGAACCCUGGUUCUUGGAUAUCAAGCGGUACAUUCAGUCAGGAGAAUACCCAGCAUAUGCCACCAACGAUCAAAAGAGGACUAUUAGGCGUUUGGCUAGUGGAUUUUUCUUUAGUGGGGGGAUUUUGUAUAAGAGGACCCCAGAUCUGGGACUUUUAAGGUGUGUAGAUGCAAAAGAAGCCUCAAAAAUCAUGGUUGAAAUACACUCUGGAGUAUGCGGGUCGCAUAUGAACAAUCAUGUCUUGUCAAAGAAGAUUCUUCGAGCAGGUUAUUACUAGCUUACUAUGGAAAGGGAUUCUAUUCAAUUUGUUUGAAAGUGUCAUCAAUGUCAGGUACACGGUGAUCUGAUACGAUCUCCUUCUAUUGAGUUGCAUGCAAGGGAUGAUCCAUGGCCGUUCGUGGCUUGAGGAAUGGAAGUGAUAGGACCGAUUGAGCCGAAAGGCAUCAAAUGGGCAUAGAUUCAUUUUGGUAGCCAUUAACUACUUCACAAAGUGGGUAGAAGCAGUAAUUUUCAAGCCAGUGACAAAGAAGGCUGUGGUAGAUUUUGUUCAUCCUAAUAUCAUUUGUAGAUUUGGAAUUCCUAAGAUGAUCAUUACAGACAAUGCUGCCAAUCUCAAUAGUCAUUUGAUGCAAGAAGUAUGUCAACAAUUUAAGAUCGCACAUCAAAAUUCUACUCCGUAUCUCCGAAAGGCCAAUGGGCUGCAGAAGCUGCCAAUAAGAAUAUAAAAAAGAUACUGAGAAAAAUGGUACAAGGGUCUAGACAGUGGCAUGAAAAGUUGUCGUUUGCAUUGCUAGGUUAUCGCACCACUGUUCGCACUUCAACAGGGGCAACUCCAUAUUUAUUAGUGUAUGGGACAGAAGCAGUCAUCCCUGCAGAAGUUGAAAUUCCCUCUCUUCGAGUCAUUAUAGAAGCAGAGAUUGAUGAUGACGAAUGGGUAAAAACCCAACUGGAACAUUUGAGNNNNNNNNNNNNNNNNNNNNNNNNNNNNNNNNNNNNNNNNNNNNNNNNNNNNNNNNNNNNNNNNNNNNNNNNNNNNNNNNNNNNNNNNNNNNNNNNNNNNNNNNNNNNNNNNNNNNNNNNNNNNNNNNNNNNNNNNNNNNNNNNNNNNNUUCUCCCCUAACUGGCAAGGUCCCUUCGUUGUGAAGAAAGUGUUGCCCAAUGGAGCCUUAUAUUUGACAGAUAUUGAAGGCAAAAUGGCAGAAAUGGCUAUCAAUGCUGAUGCGGUCAAAAGAUAUUAUGUAUGAUAUUUGAUCCUUUUUUGAUUUUAUUGCAUGUUUAGUACUUGCAUUUUUAAAGAUUGAUAUGAUGAAGGCAUUUUAUUCUUCUAUCCAAACAUUGUGUCAUCCCUUGUUUACCCGUUUGAGCUUCGUUUAAUUUUCUUUCAUAUCCCUCUUUUGGAAUCAAAAUAGAGUCAAAGAUAAAUAUUAAGAAAAUAAAAAUAAAAGAAAGAGUUCGAAAAUAAAAUAAAAAAUCAAAUCAAAACAAAGAACAAACUGAUGGAACUACGUCCGACCUGAUUCUCCUCCCUCGGAAGUGAGAUACAUAGGCUGCCCUAUUUCGGGCUCGGUCCAACCAAAUAAAGAUUUAAGAUUCACCCAGUCAACAAAGAUGGGGCAUGAGUUUAUGUGUUGUUUGAGUCGAUUCCAAAAGUUGUAAGUCCCACCUCCACUUCAAGUAUCGUUUAAGCCUCUUACCAUCUUUUCUACCCUUAACCAAAAGCCAAGUUACAACCAAAGAAAGUUCUUCAGAUCAAUUUUUGAUAAUGUUAAGGCUAAGCAUGCAAUGGAUAUGAUAAUACAUUGUGAAGUACCACUUGUCUCUCUCAGCAUAAGAAAUCAGGAAAGAAAUAUAAAAAUGAGAGAGUCUUAUUGGUGAAAACCCCUGUGGGCAUCAUAAAGCGAUGGUGAGUUGAGAGAAAAUGAAAAUGAGAGAGUCUUAUUGGUGAAAACCCCUGUGGGCAUCAUAAAGCGAUGGUGAGUUGAGAGAAAAUGAAAAUGAGAGAGUCUUAUUGGUGAAAACCUUUGCAGGCACCAUAAGGCGAUGGUGAGUGGAGAGAAAUAAAAAUGAGAAAGUCUUAUUGGUGAAAACCCUCACGGGCACCGUAAGGCGAUGGCGAGUUCAAGAGAAAAGUGAAAAGUCAGAAGAAAGAGAUUUGUUGGCGAAAGCCUUUUAAGAUGUCGUCAAUCGAAUGUGAUGUAUGAGUCCAAUGGAUUUGAAGAAGCGGCUCAGCGGCAAAAGGUACGAACACAACAACAAAUGGGGAGUUUGGAUAGGAAGAUCAGGCAGCUCAAUCCAAAAUGCAUGUCAUACUCAUUGGAGUUGGUUGUCGUAUUCAGAUAAGUUUUCUUUUUGAAUAUGGGACAUUGCCCUUUUCUUUCAUUUACAUAUUCAUGCUUUUUGUCUUUUUAUGUCAUUUAUCAAAAUAAAAGUCACCAUCAUUUCUUUACAUUUUAAGUCAAGUCUGUGUCAAAACAAGCGAGAAAGGAUUUCAAAAUUUACUACCAGUCUUUCCAAUUAUAUGANNNNNNNNNNNNNNNNNNNNNNNNNNNNNNNNNNNNNNNNNNNNNNNNNNNNNNNNNNNNNNNNNNNNNNNNNNNNNNNNNNNNNNNNNNNNNNNNNNNNNNNNNNNNNNNNNNNNNNNNNNNNNNNNNNNNNNNNNNNNNNNNNNNNNNNNNNNNNNNNNNNNNNNNNNNNNNNNNNNNNNNNNNNNNNNNNNNNNNNNNNNNNNNNNNNNNNNNNNNNNNNNNNNNNNNNNNNNNNNNNNNNNNNNNNNNNNNNNNNNNNNNNNNNNNNNNNNNNNNNNNNNNNNNNNNNNNNNNNNNNNNNNNNNNNNNNNNNNNNNNNNNNNNNNNNNNNNNNNNNNNNNNNNNNNNNNNNNNNNNNNNNNNNNNNNNNNNNNNNNNNNNNNNNNNNNNNNNNNNNNNNNNNNNNNNNNUUUACUUUCUGUUCAGGACCCUCCUGAAAAAUGGGGUUUUACUUUCUGUUCAGGACCCUCCUGAAAAAUGGGGUUUUACUUUCUGUUCAGGACCCUCCUGAAAAAUGAGAUUUUACUUUCUAUUCAGGACCCUCCUAAAAAAUGGGAUUUUACUUUAUGUUCAAGACCCUCUUGAAAAAUGAGAAUUUACUUUAUGUCAGGACCCUCCUGAAAAAUGGGAUUUUACUUUCUGUUCAGGACCCUCCUGGAAAAUGGGACAACGCUUUCAAAAAUGAAAUACUAAUUUAGUAUAAUUCUUGUUUGGGAUAAUUUUUGUUCUAGUUUUAAUUUUGGGUUUCAGGAGCCCGCCUGAAGAACAGGGUGAUGAAAUAACAAGUCAGAGGCCCGCUUGGAGAACAGAGUGAAGAAAGGAAAGUUAAGCAACAAAGUGAUGGAAUAACAAGUCAGGAACCCGCUUGGAGAAUAGGGUAAAGAAAUGAAAAGUCCAACAACAAAGCGAAGCAAUCGAAAGCCAAGCAACAAGUUGAAAGAAAUUGCAAGUCAGGAGCCCGCCUGAAGAAUAGGGUGAUGAAAGUCGAGUCAAGAACCAAUAGAAGUUGUAUAGAUAGGAUUUUUGUAAUUUCAUUUAUGCUUUAGCUUGUAAUUUUCAUUUUUUGAUGUAAUGACAGAGCCGUGGACCGGAGCCUCGAUGGAACCUCACUCGACUCUCCUACUCGGUAUAGUCCACUUCUCUUCCAAUCCUCUGAAAUACCCGUGACUUGAUUCUCUCAUAAUUUGGGUAGGAAGGAUGUCUUAAGUCAAGACCCGAUGGUCUUUCUUCCUUCUGUUUCUUUCUUUGAAUAAUGGUCGGGUCAAAAUUUGGUCUCGCUUCCUACUUCUUUGCCUGAAAACACUUCGUGUUUACAUCCAAAGGGGGGCAUGAUGUAGACACCUAAUUUCGUCCCUCCCCGAUGUCGUUUUACCCAUUUUUUAUUUUUAUCCUACCGUGUACCCUCACCCAUGUUAUUAUACCCUCAUAAAAUACAAAAAAAUAUAUAUAUAUAUAUAACAAAAUCCCUAACAAAACCUAUCCUAACUAAUUCUAUCUUAUCCUAACAACCUACCCAAUCAAAAUAAACCACAUCACACCCUAUCCCCACCUCACCACCCCACACCCUACCCCUUACCCCUACCUGGGUGUACCCACUGCCCCACCCACUCUCACAAUACACACUACAAAAAAGAGGACCAGUAACAGAAAAAGAGGACAGACAUAUCAUUCUCCUUUUGGGUUCCUCUCAAAGAACAAUAUAGAAGAACCCUUUUUUUUUUCUUAUUCCAGAAUUCAUUUUUUUCUUCACGAUAUACUCCCUCACGAACACAUACUUCACUCACUGGCCAUCCACACACAACAGUGAAAUUGGGGUUGAUUUAGAAGGGAAACACAGAUCGUAGAGAGAGGGAGAAAGGAGUAAAGAGCUGAAAUCAAUCGAGAAGGAGAGAAAAGGCGUUGGGUUUGACUAUUUCCGGUGAGUUCCUCAUUGAAGAUCGAUCGGGAUCACCACUGUAGCUAUCGUACAGUCACUGGAAAAUGCACUACACAUACUCAAGCACACACACGCACACGGGAAUGGGUGCCAAGUACAGUGAGAUCGAGUAAAAAGUGAGAAAUUGGAGAGAGGCAAUAGUUUGAGAUCGAGAGAGAGUCAAACAAGGGUCGAAUCGAAAAAAAGGUGGACGGAAAUCGCUAAGAAUCAGGUGGGUUUCAGUUUUUCUGGUGAUCUCCUCGCUGGAACUGUCUGUUUCUAACGACUCUAACUGAAAAACAUCCAAAGUCGUCAGAGAUCUGACCCUUUUUUGUCAAUUCCUGUCCAUCAUUGACCUCGCCGGAGCUCCUAUUUGGUAUUGAUUUGCAGUCUUCUGUUGGAUUGCGAGGAUUUUGGGUUCAUUUUAUCGUGAAUCAUCUUUCGAUAUUCUAUUGGAUUGCGGGGAUUUUGUGUUCGCCGUUUGUUGUUCUGGCUUCGGGAUUUGGUUUUCUAUCCAUUUCGACUAGUUUUGGGUUUCAAAGUCCUUGAUAUCGAAGUUGGGAUGCAUCACUAUUGAGGUUCUGUUCUGAGUUCUGAAGUUUGGUUCUUCGUUAAUAUUGUUACCAACCGAAAUCGAUUAUCGGAAGGUCCAUUUCUUUAACUCAUUCUCUCUUCUUUAUCGUAAUUUGCUGCAUUGGGCAUGUUUGAAAUUGGAUGAGUUGGUGAAUGUUUCAUGUUAUUUCACGUGAAAUUCGUAUGAUUAUCAUGCUUUAAUUGUCGUUGAAUCUAUGUUGUUUAUAUUGAAUUCCUAGUUAAAAAUUUGAGUUGAUAGGCAAAGCAUGUGUUAAUAUUUGGUUGGAAAAGGAUUUCGGGGUGAGAAUAAAAAGUUGUUAAAAGUUGAAUGUAGUUAAAUUUUGGACCGUUGUCGUUUUAUUUAAUUCGGAUUAAGCAUGAAUUUGAUAGAAUCAUUUUAACUCAAAAGCGGAGAGGCAAUAUAGGCUCGGGUAGGCAAAUUUUAAAAAUUGUUAUUUUGGUUAAAUGUUAGAAUGUGCGUGUGAAUGUUUCUUUCUAGCUUAUCGUAUUCAAUUCAAUUGUAUAAUUUGGCCGGGGAAUGUCCCGAAGUAUCUGUAUAUAUUUAUUCAUCGGGGAAUGCCCCGACGUAUCAUGUUUGGUGAAAAAUGAUCGUGAUGAAGGCCCGCGAAAUCGGGUAAGGCAUUGGAGCGUAUUCUAGAUUUAGUUUAGAAUAGGAUUUAUAUUUUCUAUUUUGGGCUGUAUAAUUGGACUGGACUUUAUGUUUUGGAUUAUUUUGUUUUUGUUUGCUUGAGUGAUUAGUUUUUAUGUGCUUUGUGUGGUUUAUGCAUUUGUAACGUCAAUUUAGCCGAUACGCUCGGCCAAGCGACCGUGGUCAAACCACGGGAUCGAGGGGUGCCUAACACCUUCCCCUCGGUCAACAAAAUUCCUUAGCCGGAAUCUCUGUUCGCAAACCGGUUUAAGUGUCAAAUGGUUUCGAAAAGGAUUUUCCAAAGGUGACUUGGCACACCGAAUUAUGUUAAGUGGCGACUCUAAAUAAAAAAAAUAUAUAUAUAUAAAUAAUUCUUUUCCGAAACAAAUUUUCAUUCCUUGUCACUUAAAUAAUAAAACCCUUUUGGACUUUAAACGAAAUCUCUUUUUUUGGAGUACGUUUAGAUAGGGGGUGUGACAAUAGGACUUCUUCAACUCCAAAAGCAAGUGAGUAUGGGGUUGCUUGCAUCGGUGUACGAUAAGUCGUCCUAUACGCCCAUAAAGCUUCUUCCAUUCGCUCAUGCCAGUCUCGUUUGGAUUUGGAGAUGACUUUCUUCAAUAAGUUGCAUAAAGUCUUAUUGAGUGCUUCGGCUAGACCAUUGGCGGCAAAAUGAUACAUAAAAGACUUGCGCUGCUUGAAACCAAAGAGAUCACAUAUUUUGUUCAUCAGCUUUUUUCAAAUGGCUUUCCAUUAUCAGUUAUUAUAUACUGAGGAAUUCCAAAGCGGUAUACGAUAUUCACUCGGAUGAAGUUCGCAACAUUCUUUUUCUUUACUUCCUUAAGAGCAACAGCUUCGGCCUAUUUGGAGAAGUAAUCUCUCACGGCCAAGAUGUAUAGGUGUCCACCAGAAGAUUUUGGUAGUGGACCAACAGCAUACAUUCCCCAAGCAUUGAACGACCAAGAUGCUAUAGUUGGGUGUAGUACCUCUAGAGGUUGAUGUAUGAAAUUUGUAUGGAAUUGGCAAACUUUUCAUCUUCUAGCAUGGUCUAAGCAAUCUUUCACUAUCGUUGGCCAAUAAUAUCCCAUCCUUUUAAUGUGGAAAUAGAGCUUCGGUCCAGACUGAUGUGAUCUACAAACUCCCGAGUGCGCUUCUUGCAAAGCUUAAAUUGCUUUUUUCUCUCCCAAACACCGUAAGAGUAUUCCUUCAAAUGAUCUUCUGUACAGUGUGUCUUUGUAGUAAAGGAAGUGAGGUGCACGAUGACAAAUGUCAGUCUUUCUCCUUGGAUUUUCUGGAAGUAUCCCAUAACAUAAGUAAUCAAUAAUAGGUUGUCGCCAAUCUUCUUUUAAAACUUCAAACACGGCAACGAGGUAUUCAACUUUAUUUUCCACAUCCUCAUCUGACGGCGGUACUACCCAUUCUUGGUGAACAGUAACUUGGGUCUGAUUUGGAAGAGUUAGGGUUGAGGCCAGAGCAGCUAGGGCAUCAACUUGCUUAUUUUCUCUUCUUAGCACAUGUUGAAGAGUUACUCCUCCAAGCCACCCCAUCAACUUCUGUACAUAAUCAUGAUAUGGUUGUAGCUCAGGCUUUCUGACUUCAUAGCUUUCCAAAAGUUGCUUGAUCACCAAUUGGGAGUCACUAAAGACUUGUAAUUGCAGUUGUUUCAUGUCAACUGCCAUCUCAAGUCCAAGUAUUAAAGUUUGAUAUUCAACAACAUUAUUAGAGCAACGAUUUGCUAGGGUAAAAGAGUAUGGGAUUACCUCUUCUUGUGGAGGGACGAACACCACACUGGCACCAGCUCCAUCUCGAUGUGCGGCACUAUCAAAGUACAUCUUCCAUAGGGGUCUAGCUUCAAUGACCAUUGCAUCUUCAUCAGGAAAUUUAUCGCUCAGUUCCCAAUCAUUAGGUAUCGGGUGGUCUGCCAAGAAUUCAGCCAGUGCUUGUCCUUUUACAGCCAUUUGAGAAAUAUACACAAUCUCAAACUGCUAAAAUUGAAGGUACCAUCCUGCAAGUCGAUCACUAAGGACUGGUUUCGACAUUACAAACUUGAUGGGAUUUGCCCUAGACACAAGAUGGACAACAUGAGCUUGAAAGUAGUGUUUCAUAUUUUGAAUUAAGAAGGCCAAUGCCAAACAUAACUUUUUAAUUGGAGAAUAUUUUAUCUCAUUCGGCGUCAUCAUUCUGCUCAAAUAGUAAAGAGAGUUUUCAUUUCCUUCACUAUUUUCUUAAGCCAGUAGUGCUCCAACUGACCUCUGUUGUGCUGCGAUGUAAAGUAUCAAUGGUUUCCCAGGUAUGGGUGCCGCAAGAACUGGUGGCUUCAUUAAGUAUGAUUUGAUACUCUUAAAGGCAUUACUACAAGCUUGGUCCCAUUCGAAGGGAGUGUCCUUCUUCAUGAGACGACUAAAUGGUUGAUAUUUUUCAGCCAUAUUUGAGAUAAACCUCCUUAAAUAUGCUAGCCUUCCCUGAAGGCUUUUUAACUCAUGAAUAUUUCGAGGCUCAGGCAUCUUCAAAAUCCGAUCGACCUUGUCUUGAUCAAUUUCAAUUCCCCGGUGUCUUACAAUGAAGCCAAGAAACUUUCUGAAAGUAAUUCCAAAGGCACACUUCAACAAAUUCAUUCUAAGUUGAUAUCUUCGAAGUAACUCAAAUACCAUUCUUAGGUCCUUUAAGUGGUGGUCUCUCUUUAUUGACUUCACCACUAGGUCAUCCACGUAGCAUUCAAUAUUUUUAUGUAGCAGGACAUUAAAGAUGUUCUGCAUAGCCCUUUGAUAAGUGGUGCCAGCGUUCUUCAAACCAAAAGGCAUUACUUUGUAGCAAUAAAUACCUUUGGGCGUACGAAAUGCAAUGAGUUCUUCAUCCUUUGGUGACAUGCGGAUUUGAUUGGAGCUGGAUGAACCAUCCAUGAAGGACAUUACCUCAUAACCAGUGGUGGCAUCAAUCAUCAACUCUGGUAUGGGGAUUGAAAAGUCAUCCUUAGGGCAGGCAUUGUUGAGAUCCCAAAAGUCGACACAAACUUGAAUUUGGCCAUUCUUCUUCCGUACCAGAACAAUACUUGAAAUCCAUAUGGGAUAUUUGACUUCGUGAAUAAAGACAACCUCAAUGAGUUUGUUAACUUCAUUUUUAAUUAAUGGUACCAACUCUGGCCAAAAGUGUCUUUUGGCUUGCUUAACAGGACGAGCACCAUUCUUGACCGCCAACUGAUGGACUGCUACUUUUGGAUCUAAGCCAACCAUUUCCUUAUAGCUCCAAGCGAAGACAUCCAUAUAUUCUUUGAGCAUGUCCAUAUAAAGAACUUCCUCCACUACUUCUAGAAACGCACUUAGGUAAGUUGGUCUUUGGUCUUCAUUAGUUCCAAGAUUAACUUCCUUCAGGGAAUGUAUUGUCGCCUUUACUCCUUCUUCAAGUCUAGAUGGAGCAUCUUCCUCCUCUGAAGAAUCAUCGUCGUUGAUGGAUAUGUGUUGACACCAGAAAGUGUCUUCUAUCUCUUCAUAUUUGAGAUGAGGCCUCAUUCUCAUUUUGGAUCGUAACAUGAUAUGAAGAGCCAAUAAUUUUUGCAUCUUUCUCACGUUCCUUGGUAUACACCACAGUAUGAGGUUUAUAUUUUAACACCUCGUUGUAUUAAACUACAAGUUUUAUCUGUCGCUUCAUUCUAGAAGGAAUCAAACUUUGGAAAUCUUUUUGUAUUUUAAGUGAAGAGUGCAUCAUCAUGCUUUGACGACUUCUUUUACCUUUGUUUAUUUUUACCUUAUUUAGAGGUCCUAAACUUUCGAACACAGAAGUUCUUGCAGUUGAUUCUCUAAGUCGAUCAAAGAUAGAAACCCUUUUAUUGGAUGCAGUGGACUCUUCUUCUACAGUGAUAUAGUUGCUAACCUCCCUUCUUAUGGAGAUGCGAAUUGGAGGUGGCUGCGUAUAUCCUAAGCCUUCAUGUGCCUGCCUAGUCGUUUCUUCUGAUGGAAGUUUGGCCAACCUUGAUGGCUCAUUUGGAUUGUAUCCAGCCUUUACAAAUAGCUUGUAUGCAUUUGGAUCAAAGCUAUCCUUCGUACGUUUCAUAGGGAGUGUCAUAUCUUGUGGCAGAUUUUGAGCCACAGACUCUUCAAGAAGUCUUGAGGAUGGAUUUAUUGCAUUAAUCUUCCUGAUAGGUAAAGUUAGUCCCUUUAUCACAUUAUCUUAGGAAUCCGAUGGGUGAUCUUUCUCUUUUCCUACCUUUGGUACGUAACAAAGAACGGGAGUUGCCUUCUUUUUCGUAGAAGUGAUAUCUUCUUAUUUGAAAUGGAGAGAGGCUUCUUGGUGGCAACUUUUUUGGCAGUCACCGCAACCUUCUUAGAUGCAAGAUCAUCAUACUUGGUCUUGGUGAUAUCUUCAACCCUUUUCUCAUCCACAACAUACUUUUUAAGUAGAAUUUUGCAUCGGCAAAAUGUAACUCAGCUUCAGUGAAUGGUUUGUCAUAGGCAACUAUCUUUAUUUCUACUCCGCCUUCAAGGUCCUUCAAACAUUAAUAGUAAGAGGACGAGAUAAUUUUGUUCUCGUGCACCUAAGGCCUACCAAGCAAUAUAUUGUAUGAAGUUUUGGCAUCGAUCACUGCAUCAAUGGGUUUGAUUGAAAAUCAUCCAUACGAAUCCCUAACUUGAUACAUCCCAUGGCCCUCUGUCCUCCUUGGUUGAAGCCUUGGAUCAUUAUAAGGCUUUCGUCCAAUUCGCUAGUAGCGGUGCCAAGUUCCUUCAUCGUGCGGAUAGGCAGGAUAUUGACUCCAGAUCCCUCAUCUAACAAGAAUCUAUUGAUGUUCUUUCCUAGAAUUUGACCCACCAUGAAUAAGGGAUGGUUAUGUAGGUCCUCACCAAGUAGAAGAUCGUUAUUUGUGAAUGUAAUUUUUGUAUCACACACAUGUGCCUCUUCGCAAAAAGUUUCAACAAGCUUUUCGGAAGGUGAAGGAACCUCCAUGGGUAGAUUCUCACCCUUUGUACCCUCUUUGGUGGUAUUAAAACAAGACGCCUCAAGGUUGACUUGGGCAAUCUUUACACAAAACCAACUCGGUAAAAAUUUCUCUAAAGUCACCGGACGCCGAGGUUUUUGGUGGUGAAUCUCCGUCACCCUCGUCCCCUUUGUAAGUUCAACCAACUUUUGUUUUUUUGGUUUCUUCACCAUUCUUCUUUCGGUUGGCUGCUCGUACAUCUCCUUUCGCAGACUCGUCUUCUUGCAUCUGCGUUUGGUCACCAUAGUCCAACCUUCAUCAUUAUCUUUGUUAUCUGAAGACCUAUCGGGCUCUAAUAUUUCCUCAUUAUACUCUCCGAAACAUAGUUGGACUGGGUCGAGUGAGCCAAAAGUGAUGGAUAUUUAAUGAGAACUGGCCGUCUCAUCGUCGAAGAAGAUUUUCUUCUCUUUUGUCAGUUGUAUGACUCUAUCUUUAAAGACAAAGCAUUUCUCCAGGGGGUGACUUAUGAGCCUAUGAUAUUUGUAAUAAUUAGGGUCAUUGGUCCUUCCAGCUUCAUUGGGAUGCUUUAUCUAUGGGAGUUCAAUAAGCUUAUGCUGAAGGAGUUCAUCAAAAAUCUCAGCAACAUCAGAAUCAAGGAAGGGAUAUUCCUUUUCUUCUUGCAUCUCCUUUAAAGUUUUUUAAUUUGGACGUGCUCCAGAAGUCGUCUUCAUACUUUGCUUUUUGCUUACCUUUGUGGUUUCCUUCACAGGAGACACAUCAAUAUUCAUGGACUCCUUGUUUUCAUUUUUGGGAACAAACUUGCCCCAUCUUUUGUGUUCCUGCUUUUUCUUUCUCCUUUGAGGGUCAUGAAUAGACGCUCCUUCCUUUCCAGCAGAAGACAUGCUCAACUUCAUGUCGUGAGCACGAGUAGCUAACUCUUCAAAGGAUUUUGGUUUAAUUCCUUGCAAGAUGUAGAGAAGCCCCCAGUGCAUUUCUUGGACGCACAUCUCUAUUACAGAAGUUUCACUGAGCCUAUCUUUGCAGUUUAGACUCGUAUUUCUCCACCGAUUGAUGAAGUUGAUGACUGGAUCAUCUUUUCUUUAUCGAGUAUUUGUGAGAUCUAUCAUACUCACUGUACGCCUUGUGCUAUAAAACUGAUUCAGGAACUCGUAUUCCAAUUACUCCUAACUAUUAAUGGAGUUAGGCUUGAGAUCUGUAUACAAGUCAAAGGCAUUUCCCUUUUGAGAAUGAACAAACUGUUUGACAAGAUAGUCACCGUAAGUUUUAGCAUUAUUACAUGUCUCAACAAAGUGUGCGACAUGCUGUUUUGGGUUUGCUUUCCUCUCAAAUUGUUAAAAUUUGAGAAAUUGAUAGCCGGAAGGCAUUUUGUGGCUAUCUAUCCUCGCAGUGUAGGGCUUGGCAUACGCAAGAGAAGACUUGGUGACAACAUCAUAUUUGUCUUUGAGGGUUUUUUCAAUAAAUUCCCUCAAUUGCCCAAUUGGGAUCAUUCCCUCAGCAGAAACUUGCACCUCUUUAGUCGGUGGUGUUUGUUUCACAGGAUUUUCUAUCUCAUAAACCUCUGGAGCUUUUCCAGGUGCAUGGGUAGAUUCUUCGUCUAUCAAGCCUUCCACCCUAUCCACUAUCUUAUCAAUCCUAGCCUUUUAAUUCUGAACAUAGUUGGUCAGGCCUUCAAUUGAUUUUGUCAGAUUCGCAAGCUGCUCCUUCAUAGACGAAGCAUCAGUUACCAUUGCUUGCAUGAUCACCGGAGAUGUUAGAGAGUGACACGGAUUAUCAUAUAAGUUGAUCUUUGAAGUGUUCAGGUUAUGUGAUGUAAGUGGAGAUGACGCAUUUGUUGAGUGACCAUCGCUCUUUGCGCUAGAGUAUUUGGAAUCGGAAUGCUCAAGUAGAGCUAGAGUCUUCUUAAACGAUGCUGUGACAUUGCUUCCUUCUUCUGAAAUACUUGUAUUAGACUUCGCUCCUUUUGGGGUUGAGGAUCCAAAAACUGGAGUUGGCACAGACGACACUGGAUGUAUUUGUUGUCCUGGCAAGCCUGCCUUACUCCUUGUGACAGCUCCUAAACUUCUGAAAGUAACACCAAGGAUGCUUUCCACUUCGGCAGAGAACCUUGAAUCAGCGGCCUUGGAAGCAGUUGAUUGAGAGUUAAUCUUCUUGGAAGUUAUUUCAAUGUUGUUGAACUUUGCGGUUGGAAAAGCUGAGAUGAGAGGUAGAGAUUGUUCCACUGGGCAUGCCAAUUUGUUUUCAACAUAAUUUAGUUCAUGGAAAAUAAACUUCAACCACAAAUAAAAGUUUGAAGAAGCAACAGUUUUAUUGAUAAACGAUGGGGUACAAAUCUGUUCCUCCCUUGAUUCUUUUCUCAUGAUUUUCUCCGUAAUUCGAGUGUCAUAUUUCUUGAAUGUAUGAAGAUUUGGAUAUGAAUUUCUCCGUAAUUUGAGGGCAGUUAGUGGCGUAUUCUCAUGAUUUUCUCCGUAAUUCAAGGCCCAUAUUUCUCGAAUGUAUGAAGAUUUGGAUAUGAAUUUCUCUGUAAUUCGAGGGUCGUUAGUGACGUAUUUCUCGAAUGUAGGAACAUUUGGAUUUGAUCUCCAUGAAAGGAGGGUUUGUCUUCUUGAUGUAUUUGAUUAUCAAGAAGAGAGGGUUUUGAUCUUUAUGAAUAUCCCAUGAAUUAAUUGAGACUUUUUAGAUUGUUGAUAUCUUUAUCGUUGAUCUCUUUGUGAAUAUCCCAUAAAUUUGUGGGAUACUUUAAAGGAUAUUUGCCCCCUUUAUAUAGGCGUAAUUUAGGAUUUAGGUUGAGUAGCCAUCAAGCUAGAUUUAAGGAAUAGUAGGCCCCAAAAACUCUAACCAUAAUUAAACUCUUUUUGUAGAGUCCACAAAAUUUCAACUUCUACAAAUUCAUCUCUUUCUUUUUCAAUUGUUUCAUUUCUAGCUUGAAUAUCAGAAAGAACUUUCCUAGUUGCCAACAGUUCAUUAUAAUCAAUCCCUACUACUUUGCUCCUCCUUAAUCAAUUACCAUCCCCGUCGUCCAUCAUUACGAUAGUCUGUCAGAAUUUCAGUUGAAUCAUCCUAAAGUACAAAGAUAAAGUUUCAGCCAUCAUAGUUGCUGGCAUCCUAUAUCAAUCACAAAAAAUUAUUGGACAAUUUUAAAUAAUGUAUCUGAUAUUGUACUCAUACUCAUAUCUUUCUGUCAAGAGAUCACUAAUUUAUGUGUCAAAUUCUAUAAGAAUAGCAUCAAUCAAACAAUCUACUACAAUUUCAUGCCAAACUUAUUGGAAUUGUUUAUGUGAGAGUUGUGUGAGGUAAUGCAAACAUGAUAAUUUAUUGUGGGAAUGCAUCUAUUCUGUUUUCAUUCAUUUCGUUACUUGGUUCAAUAUAAUGUUUGGGCUAAAAUUUAUACUAGAAAUUGAUAUGACGUAUAUAUUUCAAUUGAUAUAUGUCAAUUAAAAUGGUAUAUAAAUUAGUACUUGAAAUGAUUAUUUAAUUACCUUAUCAAAAGCAUCAUAUGAAAAUGGUAUAACAUAUAUAUUUUAAUUGAUAUACGUCAAUUAAAAUGGUAUAAAAAUUAAUUUUUUAAAUAGUUAUUUAAUUAUCUUGUUAAAAAUAUUGUAUGAAAAUGAUAUAGAAAUUGAUAUAUAUGACUUACACAUCAUAUAUACCACGCUAAAAAGGAAAAAAAAUACAAUUUAUUUAUAAAAAAUGCAUACACUCGUGUAUUCGUAUAUAAUAUAAAAGACAAUAAUGUAUAUAUUCAUGUAUUUCCAACGAAGAAUUUCACUCACCAUUUUUGAAAGAAUUAAGAAAAUUAGAAAAUUUAUUAAAUCAUAAAUAACAAAUUAAUAUGACCAAUGACAUAAUCAAUUGCUGAUAAAUAUCUAGGUAUUAGAAAAAAAAAUGGUGCCAUUUUGGUGAAGCUUUCGAGAAUGAAGAUUUAUGAAUAGGUUAAAGGAAAACAAAAGGUUGAAGGAGAUGGUGGAAAUUUAAGAAUAAAUGUUAAGAUAGAGAAAAAUUAAAUAUAUGAGGAAAAAUACACAUUAAUAUAUAUUUCGAAAAGUCAGUCAAUUUAUCAAAAUUAAAUUAAAAAAAUAAAAAUUAAUCCGAUGAAAACAUAUUCGAAAAGUCAGUCAAUUUUUUUGUUAAACUUGAAUUGUUAUGUUUUGUAAAUAAAAUCUGGUUUUUAUAAAUAAAAAAUAAUAUAUUUAUAUUUUAUAAUUUAAGAUGUUAAAUUAUAAAUGUAUGUGAUUUCCACUGUAAUAAAAGGUAUUUGCGUAUUGUUUUUAAAAAUUCGAGGAUAUAUAUAGCCUUUGCCCAAGAGAAAAUUAAGUUUGGAUAAGAUGGGCAAGAAAGAAGCGCAUUUGACACAUUAGAAGCAACCGUGGCAAGCUUUUGCAUGUCCAAUUGCCACUUUUUUCUUUUUGCAUGUCUACUACUUGCGUGCCUAUCCGCCGCGUAGAAGCUGGUACAGGUUCAUUUUUUAAAUUUAACCGUUUUAGAUGUAGGAUUUUUUUAUUUUUUAUUUUAAAAUAAAAAUUUAUAUAAAUUUUUCUUGUCUAAAUUACAAUUAUUAAUGAUAAAAAUAUUAAAAAGUUAAAAAAUUAGUUAAUUUAAUUUAGAACGGUGGGAUUAGUUGUUUCCAGGUAUGAGCUGGCUGUACUUACUCCCGAGAUACUAAUAUAUAGUUUAGUUUUAGAGCGACCUUAUUAUUUUAGGCACAAAAUAGUGUGAAAAGAGAGAGGAGGAUAUAGAGAUCGGUUUGAUUAUGGAGGCGGAGACAAGUGAAGGUAAUAAUUCUGCUCCAUUAAGUGCAGCUACUGCUACUGCAACUGCUUCAAAGAGGAAGAUGAUAAUGGUGGCUAUUGAUGAGAGUGAAGAGAGUUUCUAUGCUCUUAACUGGGCAUUGGAUCACUUGCUCAACAAUCCUUCUUAUAUUAUCACUUUAAUUAAUGUCCAACUUCCUUUUAGCCCCAUGGUUUAUCCUGCUGGACCAGGUACGUACUGCUCCUUUCGUUUAAAAAAUAAUUGAAUUGUUAGAGUAUUUUUUAGUAUUUAAAAUAAUUGAAUUGUUUAUUAUUAAGAUAGAUGUUGGAAAAUUUUUUCAAUUUUAUUCUUCAUUAAUUAAAUUUUCAAGGAUGAGUUCUAAUGAUUAUUACUAGUAUUUUGGAGUUUGAAAAGGGCAAAAGUUUUUGCCUUUUUUCUUAAGAUGUGUGUCAUACCUCAAUAAUUUAAUUAUUUUGAAAUGGAAGGAGUACUAUCUUUUCUGCCUAUAUAUACAUCUUUCAAAACUCGGGAUUGUUUGGUAGGAGGAAAAAAGGAAUAAUUUUAGAAUUAAUUUUAGGAUGAGCUUAUUUUAUGCUUGAUUGGAAUAAAAUGUAUGAAAUAACUCAUUUCAAGAUUAGUUAUUUCUGAAUUACUAAUAUUAUUUUUAUCACUUUUUGAAAAUGAAAUAACUGUUAAUUAAUCCGGACUAACUUAUCGUCUCACCAACUGAUCCUUACACUUGGGGUUGUUUGGUACGUGGCUAAACCAUCUCUAGGACAAGAAUCCUGGAAUUAUAAUUUUUGAAUCAAUUUAUACCAUUGGGUAAAUCUUAUACCAUUAUAAUCCUGGAUUGACAUAUAAGCAUAUGGGAGGCAGUAUAAAAUAAUUCAAUCUUGAAUUGGAUAAGGUAUGAAUUGAGACAUUUAAAGAUUAAAUCUGGUAUUAGAUUUAUCUCUUUUUAGUUGAUACUAUAAAUUAGUCUGGGGCCAAAUAUAGUAUAAGUUUAAUAUCAAACUUAAUUAUAUAUCUCAUCUUAAUCCACCUACCAAACGAUUACUUUAAUUUAUCCCAAACCUUAACACCGCACUAGCUUCUCUUGCAUGAAAAAACAAAUAGCUUGGGGAGUAAUAAUAAGAGGAGGAUUAAUAGAUUAGUUAGGAGUACUUACAAAAAUCCCACUCAAUUAAUGUACCACAAUACUUUCCUCCGUUCGCUUUUACUUGUCACUAAUUUCCUAAUUGAGUUUUUAGUUUGACUUUGUCAUUUUUGACAUAUCAAGAUUUAAGACAAUUUUUUUUUUUCUAUUUUACCCAUAGCAUUAAUUGUUUUCAAAUUAAUUUCAAGAUAUCCAAACAUCAUUUAAUAAGGUAUUAUAGUAAAAUAAUCAUGUUAUUAGUUGUUUUUUUUAAUAUGUGUGUCAAGUUAAAAUGUGACUCGUAAAAGCGAACGGACAGAGUAAUUGAAUUUACAGUUACAAUGUUUUUAAUAAAAAUUGUUGUAGUUCAUGUACCCUACUUCUUCCGUUCGUCAAAUGAUAUAAACUUUAACUAAUAUUUUAAGAGGUAUUUUUUAAUUAAAAGAAAAAUGUGAACUUCUCAUAUUUUUUUAAAUAUCUAAAUUUUGAUUUUAGAAUAUCAAAUUAAUCUAAUCUAAUUUAGAUUUGAAAAGUCAAAUUUGACUUUUAAAAAAAUGAAACACAAUUUUAAAAGGGACAGAGGGAGUACAUGAUAAACCCUCCCUCCACUCUUUCAUAUGUAUAUUUGUAGGGUAAGUUUAAAAACGGACGCUUUUGGACUUGUUUGGCUAGAACUCCAAAUACUGGUUUAAGCUUAAAAUAUGACAUUUUCGUGUGUGUCACCAUCGCUAAUGCUCUUUAAUUUCCAUAGUAUAAUCACUUUAUACUUUCUGCAGUUCUCCUUGAUGUGUGUAUGUGGAUCGUUUUGAACUCCUUCCACCAAUGUUUCUUCCAAAUUAUUGGACUUUAUUUCCACAAAUCUUGCUAAUGGAAUCAAACUUGUUUUUCCUUCCACGAGUGCUCAAGCAAGAUUUGAAUCCUAAAUGGAUUUCUUUGGGCAUUAUUCAAUACUCUGUGGUGGAGCUUCAACACAAUACGACUACCUUACGUACUAGUAAUAAUCUAAACUUGUCAUUAUUAAAAUAAAAAUAUCCAACUCUAACUCUCCGUGAUUCAUUGGUUCAAUGGAAGGCCAGAGAAUAAAAUGAUCUCCCUCGAAUUGGUGUCUCCUCAACUGUGGUAAACUCCUUUAGUUAUAUCAAGAAAUUCUCGACCUCCAAACUUGCCGCAAGAAAAUGAUGUUAUGAAAAUUUUCAUGAUGGAAAAUGUAUCCAACCUCACAUCUCAAACUUGGUCCCCAACUUCAAUCAUCCACCAAGAAUUCUUGCAAAUAGGCUUAUGCCUGUAUAUGCCUACUUGAGCACUGUCAAAAUGAAGGUCAUAUUACAAAUUAAUGUCCACCUUGACCCAAUUUUGGAUGAUAUAUAAUACAUUUGCUUCAUCUUUUCCUUAAAAUCUCAUAAGGUAAAUCAUUCUUCAUAAACCACUCGAGUUCCCGAUCUUAACAUGUAUUAAUUUGUUUACAUUUAUAGUUGUGUUUGCUGCCCCUACUGUGGUUGAAGCAGUGAGAAAAUCACAACAUGAGAAUGCAACUAGAAUACUCUCUCGGGCACUCCUCCUCUGCAAACAAAAGAUGGUAGAUUCAAUUACAUUUUCUUCUUGCUCAAUUUCUUGUUGAUUAUUUCUCCACAUAAAAAGUUAAUUAGUCAAAAACCGAGGGUUUUCUUUUAAGCUGAUGAGUUUCAGUUCUUCUAGUUGGUGUUUUUAAACCUCAAAUUUUUAUUAAGCUUGGUCUUGUGAUGUUUUGAGUAUAUUAUGGUUGGUUUAGGUGAAGGCGGAGACUCUGAUCCUUGAAGGGGACCCAAAAGAUAAGAUAUGUCAAGCUGCUGAUGAAUUGCAUGUUGACCUUCUAGUAGUGGGUAGCCGAGGGCUCGGCAAGAUUAAAAGGUAAAUUUUAUUUCCCAAUUUUUGAGGCAACGCAUUACAUGAUUGGAAUAGGAUGGGGACUUGACCUUACUUCAUUGUCCUAUGUGAAUAUUGAAUAUGUUCAAACUUCUUUAUAAGGAGUGGCAAUCAUGGGCGGAGCCACCUUUAGAGAAGGGUGGUCAGAUGCACAGCACACCCUUCUCUUGAAAAUUAUGUGGUGAAUAGAGGUUAAAUAUUAACCAUCACGAGUGUAUAUUCAAUUUUGCACUCUCUUAACGUAGUUGAGAAUAAAAUGUGCACGCCCUUCAUCAAGUUCGUGGCUCCGCCACUGGACUGGCAAUGGUGUAGCUAGGAUAAUUCUAUUUAACUUCACAGAAAAAAAAAUUCUCUAUUCCAAGAGGAUCUCUGGCCUAUACAUAUUGAAGACGACUCUUCCCUGUACAAAUAUAUGUAAAUACAUUAAGGCAGAUCAUACUCUUGGAAGUAUCUCUAUCCUAGCAAAAGACUCGUCUGAAUUGAAAUGUAGAGAUAUGUAGCUUAUCCAUAUUGAGGUACCUUUUAACAGCAUAUCUAAUUUAAAAGUCGUAAUUGGGGUUGAGAUGAUGACCAUAUAUAGGUCCUGACCUUGUGAGAGUUGUUAUAAGAAUGGUGUUUGUUUAUAUGCAAUGAUUUGAUAGUUUCUUGCACAAAUCACUAACGUUGGAAAUGUUCAAACCUUUUGUCAUUACCAACAUGAACCUGAUCAUUGCCAGAUACUCUCAUCUAGCAACCAUAUUUAGUUUGUGUGUCAUUAGCGAUAAGGUUUGUGGUUACAGGAGGGAGGGAGGGUAAUUGACAUGAUUAAAGUGAUGAUAGCAAUUUAGGGUGGAUUUUCCUAUGACAUAUUUGACACUCUGUGGAGACUUGAAGAGGCACAUUGAUUGUUGUUGUGACCUUUCUCGCAUACAACUACUUAUUGUUCUUAGCUUGCCACCAUAAAAGUUGUUGGAUUGGAGUUUAGCUUUGGGAUCUUCCUAAAUAGGUUUUAGGCUUCUCAUAUGGUUAAGGUUUUGAAUGCAUAUAUAUAUAUAUAUAUAUAUAUAUAUAUGUGGGUGUGGGUGUCCAAGCCUGUACUCUUAAAUUAAGAUCAGUCCCAUGCAUGUUUUCACAAUUCUAUUUUUGAUUGAAUCGUUAUCGGCACCCAGUGCCUCGGAGCUUCCAUUAUUCUUUGCACACAAGCUGUAUUACAUGGAAUAUCAUAGUGUCAUCCUGUAACAGUAAGUUGUUUGAGCUUCAUCUUUUUACACAUAGGAUGGUACCUAAAAUAAGGUAAUUUGUUCACCGUUCAUCCUUUUUUAAUAUUUUUGAUAGAUACUCCCAUCUACAACACAAAUAGUAGGGGAGAAAUAGGGUUAUCAUGCCUUAAGCCCCUCUUCCUUCAAAGUACCCACAACCUUUGCCAUUUAAUUUGACACAAAAUUUAAUGGCAUAUACACAAGUCAUAAGAAUUCGAAUAAAUUUGGUACAAAGUCCAUAUCCCUCCAACAUUUCUUUAACAAAUUAAUCUUCAUGAUACCAUAUCAUAUGCCUUCUUCGAAUCUAUUUUCGUUAAACAUCUAGAUGAAGUCUUUCUAUUGCAGGGUUUUUAAAGGUCAGGACACACAACAAAUAAUUGUGUUUCACAAAAGCAUCUUGUGUGCUGAUAGAGCAGCUAGUACAUCAGAGAGUCGAAGUCUAUAAGAUGCACUUACAUUAAACAUUACAACGAAAAAUUGGUCUGAAUUGACUAGUUGGUAAUAGGAUUACUUACUUUUAGAAUAAGAGAGAUCAAGGUAGCAUCCAACUGCUUUAGCAAUUUUUCCAGUUUUAGAAUUAAUUCCAACACUGCACCACAUGCAUCGUGCCCAUUGACAUCCAAGCUCUUAAAAGAUCCACCACUAUACCCAUCUAGCCUAAGCUGUCAUUACAUUGAUACUGAGCAUGGCCUCCUUUACACUCCAAUAUUGUUGCUCCUUUGGAAGCCUAGGUUCCUUACUGUAAAAACUUGCAUGUGUUUUACUCUUGGACUCCAUCCACACCUAAUAGUUGCUGGUAAAUAUCUAACAAGCACCGUUGAUUAAUUUUAGCGUUGCGUAAACUCUUUGUUUUUUAAGGAGAGCGUUGUAAAAUUUUUUAAACGUGACAUGUUAAAAGGUUCAACUGAAAAUCUGUAGACAAAACCAACAGAAAAUUUAGUACUUGUUUUACAUAAUUUCAGUGUAUAUAUUAAUGAAACAUCCAUCCUUGUUGAUCUCGUGUGUGUCUGACAAUAAUGUUCCUCUUUUUGAAUGAAGUUGCUUGCUUUUAAUUGGAAGGUUUAAGAAUAAUGAUCUCUCACACAGUAAUUAAACUUGUUUUGCAGGGCUUUUCUGGGAAGUGUGAGUGACUAUUGUGCUCAUCAUGUGCAUUGCCCUAUUCUUAUUGUGAAGCCACCCAAGGAACACCCCAAAAGUAGCUAAUUAGGAACCAAGCAAUGCAUGAUGUUUCUUAGUUGUUGAUGAAAUAAAUAGAAGUUUAUUGUGGAUUGUAAAAUUUAUGUAAUGUGGAGAGCUUUAUUAUCAAUAAAUCAAGGUUGUAUAAAUAUGUAGUGUCUAUUUGAUAGCAUUGCAACAGAGGGUCUUUGAGAAGCUAUUUAUAGUAGUUGAUAUUUUUCCUAUUAUGAAUUGAAAAAAUAGUACAAUCUGAUUAGAGACGAUACAUAAUAAAGGAUUACCUCUUGAGGUAGAUCUUAGUUUUGGGAGGGCUUAAACUUUGUGGGAGUUUUAUUUUGAGUUGAUGUGAUUAUCGUAGUUUUUAAUCACCUCGGAUAGAAAGUGCUCACUCUCUAAAGAAAGUCGGGGCCCAAAAUAAAUGAUUUAAAGUUUUUAUUUGUACAAGUCUUACUUUAUAAAAUGUAUAUUUUUAUUUCUCUUGUUAUUUUGAUUUACUUAUGUAUAUUUUAUUUCUCCUGUUAUUUUGAUUUACUUAGUUUUUUUCCCUUCAUGAGCAUGUUGUCGUCUGAGUUGAACCCCGGCCAUUUUCAAUAUGAUCAUGUCGCAACUUCAUCCACCUUCUUGUAUUACUGCCUCUUCAACUCUUUUCUUCAAGUUGAAAAUUGUAUUAAAAAUGUUUCCUCACAAUUCAAACAGUUUUACAAACUAUACAGAAAAAAAAAGAAGUAUGGAUAGGCGAGAAUAGAAUUCUAAAAGAAAUAGUAGAAAGAAAAAAUACUGCUAUUAGCAGUACCGCCAUCGGUGCUACAAUGCCUGAGAACUGAGAAGCCUACCAUGGUCCAUGGGUAAUACUAGGUGACUAGAUGUCUUUGAGCUAGUAUUUAUUGUAAAUCUAAAUUGGGUUAUAAUGACUUCAAAUUAGAGGAACUGGAUGUAUAUAUUCGAAAUUUCCCCUUUUAUACUUCUUACCGCUAGUUCUCAGUUUUAAUACAUAGAUUCUAUGAUGAUUACAAACUUUUCAGGAAUCAGGUUCAGGAUCAUUUCGUGCAUAUUUUGGCAGUCAGCAUCACAACUCUAUUUUGUAUUUUUGUCAGAAAGUUGGUAGGCACGGUAGCACAGGCUUUGCAGGCUUUUUAGCGAGAUCAAUAAGAUUUUUUACCGAGAUCAAUCAGAAUGGUUUUAGGUUUUCGUGUGUCAUAUAUAUAUAUAUGUAAAAGGAUGACUAGUGAAAACAUCAAGUUUUUGCAUCUCCUAGUAAAAGCACUUGUUUGUUCACAUUCAAGGUUUCAUUAGCCAUGGAGACCUGCUCGACCAAACUUGUUUUAUU
This 80604-nucleotide long non-coding RNA is filed under the name Capsicum annuum. RNAcentral describes it as "long non-coding RNA (CANN_LNC022067)". The record is from RNAcentral. Lineage: Eukaryota; Viridiplantae; Streptophyta; Magnoliopsida; Solanales; Solanaceae.